AAGUAAUUUUUUUAGUAUAUAUCAUCACACAAUCAUAGUACAACCAGCACACACAAGCCAUCAUCCUCCGUACAAGCCAGAAAAGUAAAUAAGAACAAUCACAAGAUUUACAUGGGCAUCAUGCCCUAAUCUUGAUUGAUCUUGACAUUAUAUAGCAUGGGAUGACUUAAUGGUGGUGGGUUACAACACACCACUUAUUUAAUCCAACCGGCAAUAUAAGUAAUGACGAUACUAUGUCUGGCAUGGUUGAUGUACCCGAACAUCUCAUGCCAACAAUUACUCUUGGACGUUUGCUUCACCAUUUCCUUUUUCUGCUUGAGUCCCAAGUGGUGGUUUUGGUUGUGCAUUCGGGUCAGGCAGUGGUUGUGGAUUCGGGUCUGGUAAUGGUUGUGGGUUUGGAUCAGGUUGCGGUCCUGGUAAUGGCUGAGGGUUUGGGUUUGGCUGUGGGUCCGGCAAUGGCUUCGGGUUUGGGUCUGGUAAUGGUUGCGGGUUUGGAUGAGGUUGUGGUCCUGGUAAUGGCUGAGGGUUUGGGUUUGGCUGUGGGUUCGGCAAUGGUAUCGGGUUUGGGUCUGGUAAUGGUUCUGGGUUUGGAUCAGGCUGUGGUCCUGGUAAUGGCUGAGGGUUUGGGUUUGGUUGUGGGUCCGGCAAUGGUUUUGGGUUUGGGUCUGGUAAUGGUUGUGGAUUUCGAUCAGGCUGCGGUCUUGGUAAUGGUUGAGGGUUUGGUUUUGCUCGUGGGUCUGGUAGUGGCCGCGGCUUUGUGUUUGGCUGUGGGUUCAUCAACUGUUGCAGGUUUUGUCCUGGCAAUAGUUGUGGAUUUGGGUCAGGNNNNNNNNNNGUUGUGGGUUUGGAUCAGGUUGCGGCCCUGGUAGUGGCUUAGGGUUUGGGUUUGGCUGUGGGUCCGGCAAUGGUUUUGGGUUUGGGUCUGGUAAUGGUUGUGGAUUUCGAUCAGGCUGCGGUCUUGGUAAUGGUUGAGGGUUUGGUUUUGCUCGUGGGUCUGGUAGUGGCCGCGGCUUUGUGUUUGGCUGUGGGUUCAUCAACUGUUGCAGGUUUUGUCCUGGCAAUAGUUGUGGAUUUGGGUCAGGGUGUGGUCCUGGUAAUGGUUGAGCGUUUGGAUCAGGUUGUGGAUCUAGCAGUGGUUGUGGGUUUGUAUGAGGUUUAGGCUCGGGUAGCGGUUGCGGCUUUGGGUCUGGUUGUGGUCCCGGCAAUGGUUGAGGGUUUGGAUCUGGCUGUUUUCCUGGUAGUGGUUCUGGAUUUGGGUUCGCCCGUGGGCCGUACUGAGGGUCUCUAGUGAUCAGGUUGUGCCUCCCGGCAGCAAGAGCAAACACUGGAAGAAGCAUAAGCAGCAACGGUGCUACGAGAAGAGAAGACGCGGAUGGGCGCUUCCUCAUCGUCAUGGCUAAGCUUGUGUUGGUACGAACUUGCAAGUGCGUGCGUCUCGAUCUUCCUAUUUAUAAGCGAAUUCAGCCAUCAAGGCUGGACAAGCAUGUACGUUGUUUACUCCAACUCUGAUUGGGCUUGUUAGCUUUGCCUUUUUGAAGAUGCGGGACUGCACGCCUCCGCUUAGUGCUCUAACCAGCAGCUAGCCACAAUAAAAAGUCAUUUAGAAAAGUUUUGAGUUAUCAUCAUAAAGAAAAAGUUUGUGUAGUUUUCGUCUGGAUAGAUGUGACAUUUUUCAGUUGAUCGUAGGAGAGCAACAUGCAGAAGCAUACAGUUGCCCAAGUUGUGAACAACCUGAUCACUUUCAGUAAUUCUGUUGAAUUCAUAGCAGGGUAGCAGAUGGCUGUGAGCAUGGAAUUUGUAAAUCAUGUAAUUUUUUUUAAAAUAAGAAAAAUCAUGUAAACACGUAUACAUGUUAUUUGCGUGUCCAAGAAGUUUAAUUAAGCCAUACACAGAUUUGUAGGCUACAUAAAAAAAAUCCAGCCCAAAUGCAAUAGAAAUAAGCCUAUUUUAAAUUAUGUAUUUGUCGUUUUCCCCUUUGUGUAGACUAUAUAUGAUUUUUUUUCAAAUAUAUUUUGUUGAAAUUUUGUAUGAACACACUAUACCUUUUUUAUUGAAAAUUUUGAGGUGCAAGAAUAAAGUUCUUGAUAAAAAAUAAAGAAGCCUGUACGAUGUAUUGUUGUACACAGGAAUAUCGUGGAUUCUAAACUUGAGGUUUGCAUGGAUGGAUUUUUUUUACGGAAUCUAGUUUAAAUGAGUCCUAUUGUUUCCCGUAUGAAUUCCUAUUCUAUGACUCAAACAACACAUACAGAAAAAUUUUCUAAGGAUUAGAUUCCUCCAAAAUUCUAUUAAAAGUUUAAAACCCCUUUGAAUCAAAGAAGCCUAUUCCCCCCAAAAUAAAGAAAAGAAUCAAAUGAGCUCGGGUGAACAGUAAAAUCAAAACUAAAUCAAUUUUUUUUUAAAAAAAUCCAAUUUUUUUUGGGAGAAAAAGUUCUAAGUGCUUGCAAAAAUUCGCCAUGAAAUCACAUUUCUAGAAGGCGUGGCAAAAAAAAAAAACAAAAUCAGUACUCUGAAAAAGCUACUUUCAAAAGCAUUUUGGAGCACUGAAUUUGUUUUUUUUGCCACGCUUUACAGGAAUGUGAUUUCAUGAUGAAUUUUUGCAAGCACUUAAAACUUUUGUUAAUGUUUCUCCCAAAAAAAAUUGGGAAUUUUUUGAAUUUUUUUUGAAUUUUUUUCGAUUUUACUGUUCACCAAGCUCAAAUGAGCUCGGGAGCAGAAAGGCACUUUCGAUCAAAGAAGCCUAUUUCGCAGCAAAGCUAGUGGCUGUCCUAUCGGACAGUGAUGCACCUUUAAGUACGCGGUUUCUAAUAAUCACGAUCAGUGCACGCCGUGCACAGUGCACUCAUUUCGGUUGUAGAUGUAACUUUCACAUUUCAUACACCAAUCACGAUCAGUUGCUUGUUGGCACGGGCGGAGCUCCGUAGGGGCAGACCUGGGCCAUGGCCCGCCCAGGAAUUUGACAAAAAAAGUUUUUACUACUAGUCGUCUUAGCCCAGCCCACUAGCCCACGCACGCACUGAAUAUCCCCCCAUCGGCCAUCGUCUCCUCGUCUCGCGCACGCUGCACGCACAGGCACACUCACGCCUUCCCCAAUUCCCCAUCCUCUCAGUCCCAGACUCAUGUAGGUUGUAGCCACGCCGCCGACGACUACCGACGUGGACAGGGAACACGUCCACACGGUCCACCGGAGCGCGCCGCCCGCCAUCUCUCGGAGCAACCGCCAUGGCAACGCCCGCCGGGAUCUCGCCUCGCCCCUGCCCUGCUCCCUCCUGCCGCCCAUCAUCCGCACACUUACANNNNNNNNNNNNNNNNNNNNNNNNNNNNNNNNNNNNNNNNNNNNNNNNNNNNNNNNNNNNNNNNNNNNNNNNNNNNNNNNNNNNNNNNNNNNNNNNNNNNNNNNNNNNNNNNNNNNNNNNNNNNNNNNNNNNNGCAAUAACCUGAUUUUGUUCAUUUCCAUACACCCAGUGAUCAGUCCUGCUAGUGAUAAAUAAUAGUCUGAUGAUCUGAUCUUACGCAAAUUUUAACAUAGGUAGUCGGGAAAGGAAAAUAAGACUCAGAGAAGAAGAAGAUCACUGCACAAUAAGAUGGAAGAUGAGAAUCUGGCUAAUAACUUGUUAGUUCACAUAGAUGGUGGAAUUCUAGAAAACUACAGCCACGAAGAUGUCAUUGCAGAUUUUAUAAACAAGAAGAUCGGAGAGUUGAUUGUAUGUGAGUAGGUCCAUGUCUAAUGUCUCUGACACUUUUGUAUUAUCUAACUCAAUAGUGAAACAUGGUUGAACUGUACUUUGGUACAUAUAUAUAUUAUAUAUAUACAUAUCUGCUAGCUCAAUCUUGUGACCUGGGUGCUUGUAAUAUGUCCUUAUGGGUAAGAAUUUAGAAAAAAUUGUGUUCUUCUUCAGUCUGGCCCGCCCAACUUUUUCGUUCAAGCUCCGCCACUGCUUGUUGGUGCACAUCCAAUGCUCUAGAAUAAAACAAAAAGUACUCCUAUAUACAAAACGUACUUUACCUAACCUACCGAUUGAAUCGUAUACAUAGAUGAAAAAGAAAAGACAUCCGUAGAGUCCCAAGUUACCUACCGAUUGAAUCGUAUGUAUAGAUGAAAAAGAAAAGACAUCCAUAGAGUACCAAGUUACCUACCGAUUGAAUCAUACAUAUAGACGAAAAAGAAAAGACAUGCAUAGAGUACCAAGUUAAAGACGAUAUGACCUCACAACUAGAUUGGGUUGGGUGAGUGGAGUGCCACUUUAAUCCUUGUCUGGAGCACGCGCUAUGAUAUUUCUUCAGAGGCGCUGAAGUGGGGAACAAGACUGAUAGAACAAACAACAAGUGAGAUAUUUUGAGCUUCACUAGGUUGGAGGCCUGGUGUGCUCAGAAUUUAUCAGGGUGUAUUCAGGUUGCAGCACUGCUGCCAAGGCAUUUCUCCAGCUUCGCUCUGAAGAUCUUUUGCUUUGCUUUGUUCCUCUGUUUGUUUGUAAUGAAGUUCCCGUGUUUUGUGAUGGUUGCAAGUUCCCUGUAGUCUUUAUAUAUUUGGCUCAAGGGUGCCUGAAAAUUUCAUAGUUAUGUUUAAAAAAAUGCCGUAGUUGUUAGUUUUUGGACCAUCUAUCUAAAUCUAUCAAAGACCCUGUUGCCCGAGCUAGCCAAUCAAAGUUGGGCCAUUUGCAUCAAGCUAGGUAGGAUGCGUCGCCGGAAAACCCAAAUCGCUAAUUAAGGAGUACUCUUUGCAAAGGUCACUCCUACCAUGUCGCAACUAGUGAGUUUUCCUUUUUUUGUCGAUUCGUUUAUUCAACACGUUUUAUCGGUUAAAACAUGCAUUCACAUCUUGAAUCGUUUUCUCCAUUGUAUUCCUCGCACUGAGAUCUUGAAAAUUAGAUCCGAUCUGAUAGGUUUUGAUGAACGUUUUACUUUACGAAAAAUACCGAACAAAAAACAAACCGGGAGCACAUUUUUUCCUUUCUGAAAAGGGCACAAUCGUGCCUCUCGUGUCGUUACAAAUCUUAUCUCUGUUCGUCGUUACAAAUCCUAUGAAUUGCUAUUCUAUCUUCACAACAUCCUAUACUCCCCUUGUGUCGUUACAAAUCUUAUCUCUGUUCGUCGUUUUUGCAUUGACAAUUCAGUAACAAUUGAGUUUUACCCCCUUGACUUUGUUGUGAAGGAUCUAGCCACUCGGACUCCUUAUGAGCCGCAGUAGCUACGGCCAGCUUUACUCCUUCUCCGGCGGCACCACCAACCACCAGGCGGUGCUCUCUAUGGACGUUGGAAACUUGUGGCAUCAGCGAUUAGGGCACCCCAGUGCUGCCUCCCUUUCCCGUUUGGCGAGCAGUUUUUAACCAAAUUGUAAUAAGCCAGUCCACCCCAUGGUACUUGUCAUGCAUGUCAAUUAGGCCACCAUGCUCUCCUUCCUUUUUCCAGAUUCUCUGUCAUUUACUACUUUUCCUUUUCAACUAGUGCACUAUGAUAUAUGAACCUCAACAAUUGCGAGUUUUUCCGGCUUCAAAUAUUAUUUGUUUGUCAUAGACGACUUCACUCACUUCCCUUGGAGCUUCCCGCUACACCAUAAGCCCCAUGCCGCUGCCACCCUUGAACGCUUUUACCAGUACGUGCUCAUACAAUUCCGUGUUUACAUACAGUGUGUCCAAUGUGAUAAUGGGGGCGACUUCCUCAACGUUCACCUAUGCACUUUCUGUUGGGGAACGUUGCAGAAAACAAAAAUUUUCCUACGGUUUCACCAAGAUCCAUCUAGGACUUCAUCUAGCAACGAGUAAUCGGAUUGCAUCUACGUACCUUGUAGAUCGCGAGUGGAAGCGUUCAAAGAACGGGGAUGAGGGAGUCGUACUCGACGUGAUCCAAAUCACCGGAGAUCCUAGCGCCGAACGGACGACACCUCCGCGUUCAACACACGUACGGUCAGCGUAACGUCUCCUUCCUCUUGAUCCAGCAAGGGGCAAGGAGAGGUUGAGGAAGAUGGCUCCAGCAGCAGCACGACGGCGUGGUGGUGAUGGAGCUGCAGUACUCCGGCAGGGCUUCGCCAAGCUCUAUGGAGGAGGAGGAUGUGUUGGAGAGGGAGAGGGAGGCACCAAAGGCAAAGGUAAGAGGUCCUCCAUCCUCCCCACUAUAUAUAGGGGGGCCUAGGGGGGGACGCCGGCCCUAGGAGAUGCAAUCUCCUAGGGGGGCGGCGGCCAAGGGGUGGGGGACUUGCCCCCCAAGCAAGGGGGCGUCCCCCCCCUUUAGGGUUUCCCCCACCCUAGGCGCAUGGGCCCUAGGGGAAGUGGCGCCCCAGCCCACUUUGGGCUGGAUCCCUUCCCACUUCAGCCCAUGGGGCCCUCCGGGAUAGGUGGCCCCACCCGGUGGACCCCCGGGACCCUUCCGGUGGUCCCGGUACAAUACCGGUGACCCCGAAACUUGUCCCGAUAGCCGAAAUAGCACUUCCUAUAUAUAAUUAUUUACCUCCGGACCAUUCCGGAACUCCUCGUGAUGUCCGGGAUCUCAUCCGGGACCCCGAACAACAUCCGGGUUACUGCAUAUACAUAUCCCUAUAACCCUAGCGUCACCGAACCUUAAGUGUGUAGACCCUACGGGUUCGGGAGACAUGUAGACAUGACCGAGAUCGCUCUCCGGUCAAUAAACAAUAGCGGGAUCUGGAUACCCAUGUUGGCUCCCACAUGCUCCUCGAUGAUCUCAUCGGAUGAACCACGAUGUCGAGGAUUCAAGCAACCCCGUAUACAAUUCCCUUCGUCAGUCGGUAUGUUACUUGCCCGAGAUUCGGUCGUCGGUAUCCCAAUACCUCGUUCAAUCUCGUUACCGGCAAGUCACUUUACUCUUACCGUAAUGCAUGAUCCCGUGACCAGACACUUGGUCACUUUGAGCUCAUUAUGAUGAUGCAUUACCGAGUGGGCCCAGUGAUACCUCUUCGUCAUACGGAGUGACAAAUUCCAGUCUUGAUCCGUGUCAACCCAACAGACACUUUCGGAGAUACCCGUAGUAUACCUUUAUAGUCACCCAGUUACUUGUGACGUUUGGUACACCCAAAGCACUCCUACGGUAUCCGGGAGUUACACGAUCUCAUGGUCUAAGGAAAAGAUACUUGACAUUGGAAAACUCUAGCAAAUGAACUAUACGAUCUUGUGCUAUGUUUAGGAUUGGGUCUUGUCCAUCACAUCAUUCUCCUAAUGAUAUGAUCUCGUUAUCAAUGACAUUCAAUGUCCAUAGUCAGGAAACCAUGACUAUCUUUGAUCAACGAGCUAGUCAACUAGAGGCUUACUAGGGACAUGUUGGUGUCUAAGUAUUCACACAUGUAUUACAAUUUCCGGAUAACACAAUUAUAGCAUGAAUAAAAGACAAUUAUCAUGAACAAGGAAAUAUAAUAAUAAUGCUUUUAUUAUUGCCUCUAGGGCAUAUUUCCAACAGUCUCCCACUUGCACUAGAGUCAAUAAUCUAGUUACAUUGUGAUGAAUCGAACACCCAUGGAAUUCUGGUGUUGAUCAUGUUUUGCUCUAGGGAGAGGUUUAGUCAACGGAUCUGCUACAUUCAGGUCCAUAUGUACUUUACAAAUAUCUAUGUCUCCAUCUUGAACAUUUUCACGAAUGGAGUUGAAGCGACGCUUGAUGUGCCUCGUCUUCUUGUGAAAUCUGGGCUCCUUGGCAAGUGCAAUAGCUCCAUGUUGUCACAGAAGAGCUUCAUAGGCCCCGAUGCAUUGGGUAUGACUCCUAGGUCGGUGAUGAACUCCUUCACCCAAAUUGCUUCAUGCGCUGCCUCCGAGGCUGCCAUGUACUCCGCUUCACAUGUAGAUCCCGCCACGACGCUCUUCUUGCAACUGCACCAGCUUACUGCCCUACCAUUCAAAAUAUACACGUAUCCGGUUUGUGACUUAGAGUCAUCCAGAUCUGUGUCGAAGCUAGCAUCGACGUAACCAUUUACGACGAGCUCUUCGUCACCUCCAUAGACGAGAAACAUUUCCUUAGUCCUUUUCAGGUACUUCAGGAUAUUCUUGACCGCUGUCCAGUGUUCCUUGCCGGGAUUACUUUGGUACCUACCUACCAAACUUACGGCUAGGUUUACAUCAGGUCUGGUACACAGCAUGGCAUACAUAAUAGAACCUAUGGCUGAGGCAUAGGGGAUGAUACUCAUCUCUUCUAUAUCUUCUGCCGUGGUCGGACAUUGAGCUGAGCUCAAUUUCAUACCUUGCAACACAGGCAAGAACCCCUUCUUAGACUGAUCCAUAUUGAAUUUCUUCAAUAUCUUAUCAAGGUAUGUGCUUUGUGAAAGACCUAUGAGGCGUCUUGAUCUAUCUCUGUAGAUCUUGAUGCCUAAUAUAUAAGCAGCUUCUCCAAGGUCCUUCAUUGAAAAACUCUUAUUCAAGUAGGCCUUAAUGCUGUCCAAAAGUUCUAUAUCAUUUCCCAUCAAAAGUAUGUCAUCUACAUAUAAUAUGAGAAAUGCUACAGAGCUCCCACUCACUUUCUUGUAAACACAGGCUUCUCCAUAAGUCUGCGUAAACCCAAACGCUUUGAUCAUCUCAUCAAAGCGAAUGUUCCAACUCCGAGAUGCUUGCACCAGCCCAUAAAUCGAGCGUUGGAGCUUGCACACCUUGUCAGCAUACUUAGGAUCGACAAAACCUUACGGCUGCAUCAUAUACCAUUCUUCCUUAAGGAAACCAUUAGGAAUGCCGUUUUGACGUCCAUUUGCCAUAUUUCAUAAUCAUAGAAUGCGGCAAUUGCUAACAUGAUUCGGACGGACUUCAGCUUCGCUACCGGUGAGAAAGUCUCAUCGUAGUCAACCCCUUGAACUUGUCGAUAACCCUUAGCGACAAGCCGAGCUUUAUAGAUGGUCACACUACCAUCCGCGUCUGUCUUCUUCUUAAAGAUCCAUUUAUUUUCUAUGGCUUGCCGCUCUACGGCCAAGUCAGUCAAAGUCCAUACUUCGUUUUCAUACAUGGAUCCUAUCUCGGAUUUCAUGGCUUCCAGCCAUUUGUCAGAAUCCGGGCCCGCCAUCGCUUCUUCAUAGUUUGAAGGUUCACCGUUGUCUAACAACAUGAUUUCCAAGACAGGGUUGCCGUACCAAUCUGGUGCGGAACGUGUCCUUGUGGACCUUCGAAUUUCAGUAGGAGCUUGAUCAGAAGUAUCUUGAUCAUCAUCAUUAACUUCCUCUCUAGUCGGUGCAGGCACCUCAGGAACAUUUUCUUGAGUUGCGCCAUUUUCCGGUUCAAGAGGUAAUACUUCAUCAAGUUCUACUUUCCUCCCAUUUACUUCUUUCGAGAGAAACUCCUUCUCUAGAAAGGAUCCAUUCUUGGCAACAAAGAUCUUGCCUUCGGAUCUGAGGUAGAAGGUAUACCCAAUAGUUUCUUUAGGGUAUCCUAUGAAGACGCAUUUUUCCGACUUGGGUUCGAGCUUUUCAGGUUGAAGUUUCUUGACAUAAGCAUCGCAUACCCAAACUUUUAGAAACGAUAGCUUAGCUUUCUUCCCAAACCAUAAUUCAUACGGUGUCGUCUCAACGGAUUUCGACGGAGCCCUAUUUAAAGUGAAUGCGGGAGUCUCUAAAGCAUAGCCCCAAAAAGAUAGCGGUAAAUCGGUAAGAGACAUCAUAGAUCACACCAUAUCUAAUAGAGUGCGAUUACGACGUUCGGACACACCAUUACGCUGAGGUGUUCCAAGCGGCGUGAGUUGUGAAACUAUUCCAUAUUUUCUUAAGUGUGUGCCAAACUCGUGACUCAAGUAUUCUCCUUCACGAUCUGAUCGCAGGAACUUGAUUUUCCUGUCACGUUGAUUCUCAACCUCACUCUGAAAUUCCUUGAACUUUUCAAAGGUCUCAGACUUGUGUUUCAUUAAGUAGACAUACCCAUAUAUACUCAAGUCAUCAGUGAGGGUGAGAACAUAACGCCACCGUGAGCCUCAACAGUCAUUGGACCGCACACAUCAGUAUGUAUGAUUUCCAAUAAGUUGGUUUCUCGCUCCAUUGUUCCUGAGAACGGAGUCUUGGUCAUUUUACCCAUGAGGCAUGAUUCGCACAUGUCAAAUGAUUCGUAAUCAAGAGACUCUAAAAGUCCAUCAGCAUGGAGCUUCUUCAUGCGUUUGACACCUAUGUGACCAAGGCGGCAGUGCCACAAGUAUGUGGGACUAUCAUUAUCAAUCUUACAUCUUUUGGUACUCACACUAUGAACAUGUGUAGCAUUACGCUCGAGAUUCAUUAAGAAUAAACCAUUCACCAUCGGAGCAUGACCAUAAAACAUAUCUCUCAUAUAAAUAGAACAACCAUUAUUCUCGGAUUUAAAUGAGUAGCCAUCUCGAAUUAAACGAGAUCCUGAUACAAUGUUCAUGCUCAAAGCUAGCACUAAAUAACAAUUAUUAAGGUUUAAAACUAAUCCCGAAGGUAAAUGUAGAGGUAGCGUGCCGACGGCGAUCACAUUGACCUUGGAACCAUUCCCGACGCGCAUCGUCACCUCGUCCUUCGCCAGUCUCCGCUUAUUCCGCAGCUCCUGUUUUGAGUUACAAAUGUGAGCAACCGCACCGGUAUCAAAUACCCAGGAGCUACUACGAGUACUGGUAAGGUACACAUCAAUUACAUGUAUAUCACAUAUACCUUUCGUGAUGCCGGCCUUCUUGUCCGCUAAGUAUUUGGGGCAGUUUCGCUUCCAGUGACCACUUCCCUUGCAAUAAAAGCACUUAGUCUCGGGCUUGGGUCCAUUCUUUGGCUUCUUCCCGGCAGCUUGCUUGCCGGGCGCGGCAACUCCCUUGUCGUCCUUCUUGAAGGCUUUCUUACCCUUGCCCUUCUUGAACUUAGUGGUUUUAUUCACCAUCAACACUUGAUGUUCCUUUUUGACUUCUACCUCAGCUGAUUUCAGCAUUGCAAAUACGUCAGGAAUGGUCUUUUCCAUCCCCUGCAUAUUGAAGUUUAUCACAAAGCUCUUGUAGCUCGGUGGAAGCGACUGAAGGAUUCUGUCAAUGACCGUGUCAUCCGGGAGAUUAACUCCCAGCUGAGUCAAGCGGUUAUGCAACCCAGACAUAAUGAGUAUGUGCUCACUGACAGAACUGUUUUCCUCCAUCUUACAGCUGAAGAACUUGUCGGAGACUUGAUAUCUCUCGACCCGGGCAUGAGCUUGGAAAACCAUUUUCAGCUCUUCGAACAUCUCAUAUGCUCCGUGUCUCUCAAAACGCUUUUGGAGCCCCGGCUCUAAGCUGUAAAGCAUGCCGGACUGAACGAGGGAGUAGUCAUCGGUACGUGCCUGCCAAGCGUUCAUAACGUCUUGUUCUGCAGGGAGAACAGGUGUGUCACCUGGCGGUGCUUGUAGGACAUAAUCUUUCUUGGCAGCUAUGAGGAUGAUCCUCAGGUUUCGGACCCAGUCCGUGUAGUUGCUGCCAUCGUCUUUCAGCUUGGUUUUCUCUAGGAACGCGUUGAAGUUGAGGACUACGUUGGCCAUUUGAUCUACAAGACAUAUUGUAAAUUUUUUAGACUAAGUUCAUGAUAAUUAAGUUCAUCUAAUCAAAUUAUUCAAUGAACUCCCACUUAGAUAGACAUCCCUCCAGUAAUCUAAGUAUAACAUGAUCCGAGUUAACUAGGACGUGUCCGAUCAUCACGUAAGACGGACUAGUCAACAUCGGUGAACAUCUUCAUGUUGAUCGUAUCUUCUAUAUGACUCAUGCUCGACCUUUCGGUCUUCUGUGUUCCGAGGCCAUGUCUGUACAUGCUAGGCUCGUCAAGUCAACCUAAGUGUUUGCAUGUGUAAAUCUGUCUUACACCCGUUGUAUGUGAACGUUGGAAUGAAUCUAACACCCGAUCAUCACGUGGUGCUUCGAAACAACGAACUGUCGCAAUGGUGCACAGUUAGGAGAAACACUUUCUUGAAAUUAUUAUGAGGGAUCAUCUUAUUUACUAUCGUUGUUCUAAGUAAACAAGAUGCAGAAACAUGAUAAACAUCACAUGCAAUCAAAUAGUGACAUGAUAUGGCCAAUAUCACAUAGCUCCUUUGAUCUCCAUCUUGGGGCUCCAUGAUCAUCUUGUCACCAGCAUGACACCAUGAUCUCCAUCAUCAUGAUCUCCAUCACAGUGUCUCCAUGAAGUUGCUCGCCAACUAUUACUUCUACUACUAUGGCUAACACGUUUAGCAAUAAAGUAAAGUAAUUUACAUGGCGUUUCUCAAUGAAACGCAGGUCAUACAAAAAAUAAAGACAACUCCUAUGGCUCCUGCCGGUUGUCAUACUCAUCGACAUGCAAGUCGUGAUUCCUAUUACAAUAGCAUGAGCAUCUCAUACAUCACAUGUAUAUCAUUCAUCAUUCAUCACAACUUUGGCCAUAUCACAUCACAGAACACUUGCUGCAAAAACAAGUUAGACGUCCUCUAAUUGUUGUUGCAAGUUUUACGUGGCUGCAAUAGGGUUCUAGCAAGAACGUUUUCUUACCUACGUGAAAGCCACAACAUGAUUUGUCAACUUCUAUUUACCCUUCAUAAGGACCCUUUUCAUCGAAUCCGCUCCAACUAAAGUGGGAGAGACAGACACCCGCCAGCCACCUUAUGCAACUUGUGCAUGUUAGUCGGUGGAACCGGUCUCACGUAAGCGUACGUGUAAGGUUGGUCCGGGCCGCUUCAUCCCACAAUACCGUUGAAGCAAGAUAAGACUAGUAGCGGCAAGAAAGUUGACAACAUCUACGCCCACAACAAAUUGUGUUCUACUCGUGCAAAGAGAACUACGCAUAGACCUAGCUCAUGAUGCCACUGUUGGGGAACGUUGCAGAAAACAAAAUUUUUCCUACGGUUUCACCAAGAUCCAUCUAGGAGUUCAUCUAGCAACGAGUGAUCGGAUUGCAUCUACGUACAUUGUAGAUCGCGAGCGGAAGCGUUCAAAGAACGGGGAUGAGGGAGUCGUACUCGACGUGAUCCAAAUCACCGGAGAUCCUAGCGCCGAACGGACGGCACCUCCGCGUUCAACAGACGUACGGUCAGCGUAACGUCUCCUUCCUCUUGAUCCAGCAAGGGGCAAGGAGAGGUUGAGGAAGAUGGCUCCAGCAGCAGCACGAUGGCGUGGUGGUGAUGGAGCUGCAGUACUCCGGCAGGGCUUCGCCAAGCUCUAUGGAGGAGGAUGUGUUGGAGAGGGAGAGGGAGGCACCAAAGGCAAAGGUAAGAGGUCCUCCAUCCUCCCCACUAUAUAUAGGGGGGCCUGGGGGGGGGGGCGCCGGCCCUAGGAGAUGCAAUCUCCUAGGGGGGCGGCGGCCAAGGGGUGGGGGACUUGCCCCCAAGCAAGGGGGCGCCCCCCCCUUUAGGGUUUCCCCCACCCUAGGCGCAUGGGCCCUAAGGGAAGUGGCGCCCCAGCCCACUUUGGGCUGGAUCCCUUCCCACUUCAGCCCAUGGGGCNNNNNNNNNNNNNNNNNNNNNNNNNNNNNNNNNNNNNNNNNNNNNNNNNNNNNNNNNNNNNNNNNNNNNNNNNNNNNNNNNNNNNNNNNNNNNNNNNNNNNNNNNNNNNNNNNNNNNNNNNNNNNNNNNNNNNNNNNNNNNNNNNNNNNNNNNNNNNNNNNNNNNNNNNNNNNNNNNNNNNNNNNNNNNNNNNNNNNNNNNNNNNNNNNNNNNNNNNNNNNNNNNNNNNNNNNNNNNNNNNNNNNNNNNNNNNNNNNNNNNNNNNNNNNNNNNNNNNNNNNNNNNNNNNNNNNNNNNNNNNNNNNNNNNNNNNNNNNNNNNNNNNNNNNNNNNNNNNNNNNNNNNNNNNNNNNNNNNNNNNNNNNNNNNNNNNNNNNNNNNNNNNNNNNNNNNNNNNNNNNNNNNNNNNNNNNNNNNNNNNNNNNNNNNNNNNNNNNNNNNNNNNNNNNNNNGGAAGAUGGCUCCAGCAGCAGCACGAUGGCGUGGUGGUGAUGGAGCUGCAGUACUCCGGCAGGGCUUCGCCAAGCUCUAUGGAGGAGGAUGUGUUGGAGAGGGAGAGGGAGGCACCAAAGGCAAAGGUAAGAGGUCCUCCAUCCUCCCCACUAUAUAUAGGGGGGCCUAGGGGGGGGGGCGCCGGCCCUAGGAGAUGCAAUCUCCUAGGGGGGCGGCGGCCAAGGGGUGGGGGACUUGCCCCCAAGCAAGGGGGCGCCCCCCCCUUUAGGGUUUCCCCCACCCUAGGCGCAUGGGCCCUAAGGGAAGUGGCGCCCCAGCCCACUUUGGGCUGGAUCCCUUCCCACUUCAGCCCAUGGGGCCCUCCGGGAUAGGUGGCCCCACCCGGUGGACCCCCGGGACCCUUCCGGUGGUCCCGGUACAAUACCGGUGACCCCGAAACUUGUCCCGAUAGCCGAAAUAGCACUUCCUAUAUAUAAUUCUUUACCUCCGGACCAUUCUGGAACUCCUCGUGAUGUCCGGGAUCUCAUCCGGGACCCCGAACAACAUUCGGGUUACUGCAUAUACAUAUCCCUAUAACCCUAGCGUCACCGAACCUUAAGUGUGUAGACCCUACAGGUUCGGGAGACAUGUAGACAUGACCGAGAUCGCUCUCCGGUCAAUAACCAACAGCGGGAUCUGGAUACCCAUGUUGGCUCCCACAUGCUCCUCGAUGAUCUCAUCGGAUGAACCACGAUGUCGAGGAUUCAAGCAACCCCGUAUACAAUUCCCUUCGUCAGUCGGUAUGUUACUUGCCCGAGAUUCGAUCGUCGGUAUCCCAAUACCUCGUUCAAUCUCGUUACCGGCAAAUCACUUUACUCUUACCGUAAUGCAUGAUCCCGUGACCAGACACUUGGUCACUUUGAGCUCAUUAUGAUGAUGCAUUACCGAGUGGGCCCAGUGAUACCUCUCCGUAAUACGGAGUGACAAAUCCCAGUCUUGAUCCGUGUCAACCCAACAGACACUUUCAGAGAUACCCGUAGUAUACCUUUAUAGUCACCCAGUUACGUUGUGACGUUUGGUACACCCAAAGCACUCCUACGGUAUCCGGGAGUUACACGAUCUCAUGGUCUAAAGGAAAAGAUACUUGACAUUGGAAAACUCUAGCAAACGAACUAUACGAUCUUGUGCUAUGUUUAGGAUUGGGUCUUGUCCAUCACAUCAUUCUCCUAAUGAUGUGAUCUCGUUAUCAAUGACAUCCAAUGUCCAUAGUCAGGAAACCAUGACUAUCUGUUGAUCAACGAGCUAGUCAACUAGAGGCUUACCGGGGACAUGUUGGUGUCUAAGUAUUCACACAUGUAUUAUGAUUUCCGGAUAACACAAUUAUAGCAUGAAUAAAAGACAAUUAUCAUGAACAAGGAAAUAUAAUAAUAAUGCUUUUAUUAUUGCCUCUAGGGCAUAUUUCCAACACUUUCCUCUACGAGGCAUCACCCUUUGUCACUCUUGCCCGCACACCUCCCCUCAAAACGAGAAGGCCGAGCACGGCAUUCGCUCCAUGAACGACAUUAUGCGCACACUCCUCCAAGCUCACAUGCCACCUUCGUUUUGGGUCGACGCCCUCAACACCACCACAUACUUACUGAAUUUCGCCCAUCCCGAGCCAUCGACCACAUCCCACCCUACUACGCCCUCUUUGGUACCUCUCCAGAUUACAGCUCCCUACGCACGUUCGUCUGCCUCUGCUACCAAAACCUCUAUGCCACUAUGCCCUACAAAUUAGCUCCCCGCUCCGUUCGCUGCAUUCUCCUCGGUAUGCCACUUGAGCAUAAAGGCUACAGGUGCCUGGACCUCUCCAAUCGAUGACUCAUUACCUCUAGACAUGUCAUUUUUUGACGAAAACACCUUCCCAUUCAUUGAUGCCCCGAGCGGCCACACGCCUGCACGAGCAGGGUCUGCUCCGGCCGCAGAAAAUCAAGCACCCACCUCCAUCCCCCUCGGAUCACCCACUCCACCAGUCACGCACCACCUCCCAUCCCCAAGCAUGCAGCCCGACCCCACCUCCCAAACCCAUGCAGUGAUUCACCCAUCACCUGCAUGCGGCGCGCCUCCCCUCGUGUCGACUCCACGCCUAGAUGCAGUAGCCCGCCACUUACGCCUCUGCAUGCAGCGCCCCUCACUCUAUGCCGCCCACGCAUGUAGUACGAUCCCACCCUGAGUCGUGCCGAUUUUACCUGCCAAAAACUUGCAUGCCAGGCGCACCUGCGCAAAGUCCAGUUUUCUGCAGCCAAAGAAGCUUCUGACCGUCGCUACCUCUCCCGCCCCCAUCUCUCCUAUUCCCGCAAACUACAAAGAAGCUCUCAAAGACCCCAACUGGUACAAUGUUAUGCUUGAAGAAUUUAACGCUUUGUUGCAAAGCAAAACGUGGUCUUUGGUUGCUUGCUCUGCAGGUGUCAACUUGGUGUCUGGGAAGUGGAUAUUCCGCCACAAGCUUCAUCUCGACGGCUCCCUCGCUCGGUACAAGGCGUGUUGGGUACUUCGUGGCUUCACAAAGCAGCCUGGCAUUGACUACGGGGAGACCUUCAGCCCCGUGUGGUGAAACCGGCCACCAUCCGCGUCAUCCUCAGUGUCGCCAUCAGUAACCGUUGGGCCAUUAACCAGCUGGACAUGAAGAACCCCUUCCUCCACGGCACUCUCGAUGAGCUCGUCUACAGUCAGCCGCCGGCUAGCUUCGUCGACACCGCACACCCCUCGACCAUGUGCAAACUCCAAAAGUCCUUGUAUGACUUAAGCAGGCUCCUCGUGCGUGGUUCCAGCGGUUCACCACAUUCCUUCUCUCGCUCGGCUUCACGGUGUCAAGAUCCGACACAUCCCUAUUUAUUCUCCGCCGUGGCACCUCAGUGGCAUACCUCUUGCUAUAUGUUGACGAUAUCAUUCUCACCGCUAGCUCCUCCGGGUUACUCACCAUCGUUACCGCCGCUCUCACCUCUGAGUUCUCCAUGGCGAACCUCAGCUCGCUCCACCACUUCCUUGGCGUCAAUGUUCAGUGCAGCCCCACUGGUUUGUUUCUUUCCGAGCAACAGUAUGCGCUCGAGAUCCUUGAUCGCGCCUCCAUGCUCAACUGCAAACCCAUCACUACCCCCGUCGACACCAAAGCAAAGCUCGCCACCUCGCCACCUCAGCUAACGACUCUGCUCCUGACCCAUCCCUCUUCCAUAGUCUCGCCGGUGCCCUGCAGUACCUCACGCUCAUGCGCCCGGACAUAGCCUACACCGUCCAGCAGGUGUGCCUCGUCAUGCACUCGCCGCGCAUGCUACACGCCGCCCUCCUCAAAUGUAUCAUGCGUUAUCUGCGUGGUACCACCCACCUUGGCCUUCAUAUUCGUCUGUCUGCUUCAUCCCAGCUCAUGUCUUACACAGACGCCGACUGGGCCGGUUGUCCCGACACCGUACCUGACGCUCGAUGUCUGGCUACUACAUGUACAUCGGUGACAACCUCGUCUCCUGGUCUUCGAAGCGACAAACCACCUUGUCGCGAUCGAGUGCGGAGGCAGAGUACCGAGCUGUCGCCAACGCGGUCACGGAGUCGUGUUGGCUACGAAGCUUCUUCAGGAUAUCGGAUGGCCUCCAUGGUGCUACCACUGUUUACUGAGACAACGUAUCGGUGACUGAAGGAAAUAUGCCCUAGAGGCAAUAAUAAAGUUAUUAUUUAUUUCCUUAUAUCAUGAUAAAUGUUUAUUAUUCAUUCUAGAAUUGUAUUAACGGAAACAUAAUACAUGUGUGAAUACAUAGACAAACAGAGUGUCACUAGUAUGCCUCUACUUGACUAGCUCGUUGAUCAAAGAUGGUUAUGUUUCCUAACCAUAGACAUGAGUUGUCAUUUGAUUAACGGGAUCACAUCAUUAGGAGAAUGAUGUGAUUGACUUGACCCAUUCCGUUAGCAUAGCACUUGAUCGUUUAGUUUGUUGUUAUUGCUUUCUUCAUGACUUAUACAUGUUCCUAUGAUUAUGAGAUUAUGCAACUCCCGUUUACCAGAGGAACACUUUGUGUGCUACCAAACGUCACAACGUAACUGGGUGAUUAUAAAGGUGCUCUACAGGUGUCUCCGAAGGUACUUGUUGGGUUGGCGUAUUUCGAGAUUAGGAUUUGUCACUCCGAUUGUCGGAGAGGUAUCUCUAGGCCCUAUCGGUAAUGCACAUCACUUAAGCCUUGCAAGCAUUGCAACUAAUGAGUUAGUUGCGGGAUGAUGUUUUACGGAACGAGUAAAGAGACUUGCCGGUAACGAGAUUGAACUAGGUAUUGAGAUACCGACGAUCGAAUCUCGGACAAGUAACAUACCGAUGACAAAGGAAAUAACGUAUGUUGUUAUGCGGUCUGACCGAUAAAGAUCUUCGUAGAAUAUGUGGGAGCCAAUAUGAGCAUCCAGGUUCCGCUAUUGGUUAUUGACCGGAGACAUGUCUCGGUCAUGUCUACAUAGUUCUCGAACCUGUAGGGUCCGCACGCUUAAAGUUUCGGUGACGAUUGUAUUAUGAGUUUAUGUGAUUUGAUGUACCGAAGGUAGUUUGGAGUCCCGGAUGAGAUCGGGGACAUGACGAGGAGUCUCAAAAUGGUCGAGACGUAAAGAUCGAUAUAUUGGACGACUAUAUUCGGACAUCGGAAAGGUUCCGAGUGAUUCGGGUAUUUUCGGGAGUACCGGGAGUUACGGGAAUACGAGGAAGAAGUAAUGGGCCUCAUGGACCAAGUGGUGGAAGAGAGGAGGCAGGGCGCGCGGCCCUCCUAGCCCAAACCGAAUUGGACUAGGGGGCCGGCCCCCCUUUCCUCCUUUUCCUCCUUCUCCUUCCUUCUCCUUCUCCUCCUUCCUUUCCUCCUCCUAGUAGGAGUAGGAAAGGGGAGUCCUACUCCUACUAGGAGGAGGACUCCUCCUCCUGGCGCGCCCAUAGAGGGCCGGUCGGCCUCCCCCCUUGCUCCUUUAUAUACAGGGGCAGGGGGGCACCUCUAGACACACAAGUUGAUCUUCGUGAUCGUUCCUUAGCCGUGUGUGGUGCCCCCUUCCACCAUAUUCCACCUCGGUCAUAUCGUAGCGGUGCUUAGGCGAAGCCCUGCGUCAGUAGAACAUCAUCACCGUCAUCACGCCGUCGUGCUGACGAAACUCUCCCUCAACACUCGGCUGGAUCGGAGCUCGAGGGACGUCACCGAGUUGAACGUGUGAGAACUCGGAGGUGCCGUACGUUCGGUACUUGGAUCGGUCGGAUCGGGAAGACGUACGACUACUUCCUCUACGUUGUGUCAACACUUCCGUUGCUGGUCUACGAGGGUACGUAGACGACACUCUCCCCUCUUAUUGCUAUGCAUCACCAUGUUCUUGCGUGUGCGUAGGAAAUUUUUUGAAAUUACUACGUUAUCCAACAAUGACGUACCUCUCCACCAACCCGGUACAACACCAACGCACCAAGCACGUGGAGAUUGAUCUUCAUUUCGUGCGCGACCGCGUUGUCUUCGGAGAUGUUCGUGUUCUGCAUGUUCCGGCAACCUCCCAGUUUGCCGACGUUUUCACCAAGGGGAUACCAACCGGCGUCUUGACAGAGUUCCGGUCCAGCCUCAAUGUCGUCGAAGACCCCGUUGCGGCUGUGGGGGGCUGCUGGAAUUGUAAAACGCCUCCUGCAUGUACAUUACCGGGUCCCUCGGCUGGACAGAUCGGCUCGCGCAAGUAGCAUGGGACACCUGCGUCUGUUACACACGAUCCCCUUCUCCGUUGCUUGUAGCUGCUGUACCUAGGCGUAUAUAUAUAACUCUGUACAAUCUGGAAUAGACACGGUGAAGAUCACCUUUCAACUGUUCGCACUGUGCGGCCAAACCUUGUUUGGCUGGGACUGACAAAUGAAAAUGAUGCACCCGAGCACAUCCAGAAGGAUCUGAACGCUCGCAGUCCAAACCAGCUUAUCGGCAUUGGUACAGAGUUGAGGCAAAACCGAGCAGUGAAGCAAGCUCCAGCAUUUUCAACAUGAAGGAAACGAAAAAGACGAAACAGGCUCCAACAUUCUCGUCAAAAAAGAUAAGAAAAGGAAAAAAGAAACAGGCUCCAGCAUUCUUGACACAAAAGAAAUGAAGAAGGAAAACGAAACAGGCUCAGGCAUUCUUGACACAAAAGAAAAGAAAAAGGAAAAGGAGAAAGGCUCCAAUAUUCUUGACAAAAUAGAGAAGCAAAAGAAAAAGGAAUCAGGCACAAGCAUCCUCGACACAGAAGAAAAGAAAAGGGAAAAGGAAAUUGGAUCCAGCAUUCUCGAUAAAAAGGAAGAGAAACAGGAAACAGGUUCAACCAUUCUCGACAAAAAGGAAAAGAAAAAGAAAACAGGCUCCGACAUUUUGGACAAAAGAGAAAAGAACAAGGAAACGAAAACAGGCUCCAGCAUUGAUCUCGACAAGAAAGAAAAGAAAAAAAUUUGAAAAGCAAGCUCCGUCAGAACGGUAACAGUAGCACCAAUGCUAAAGAAGAGCAAAUUGAACAGUAGCACCAAGGUGAAGGAAGCUCAAGACCGAUGAGAUGUCCUGGUUUCUAUAUAUCCAAUUAAUAUACCAUAUUUUAAUUAUUGUAACAAUAUGAUUGUAUUUUUUGUGAUGUAAUGAGUCGUUUGAUUCGAACCUCUGUUUGUUCAGUUUCUGCUUGCUGCUGUUGUAAUCACAAACCGUCAUGUCAAAUAAAUGGAGUGAAUAGCAAAAAACUACCAUAUUACGGGCUAUCGUUCCGGAAAACUAUCGCUUGUUUUAAUUUUUCAAAAAACUACCACAAAAGUGGCUGGCUGUUCCAAAAAACCCAAGUGGCCGAACGGUUAAGUUUUAACUGGGGUUAUGACAUGUGGGGCCCGCCCGUCAGGGUUUUGUCGGCCACAGUGCUCACGGCGCGCGGGUGACGGCCGUUAGGGCGCACGGCCCGUCCCGACGAGGUCAAAAUGGAUCCGGCCCUCACUCUGUCUCCCUCUCGCUCACUCACUCUCUCCCCCCUCACUCUCACUCUCCCCCCUCGCUCUGUUUCCCCUGGCCGAGCUCUCCAUCGUCGCUGACCACCUCAGUUCCUCGUCGCCGGCCAGGAUGCCUUCUUGGAAUGAUGGGGAUGAGAGCUCCGACGAUAGCAUGGGGGGCAACCUGAUGGACAUGGAGUACUUUGUAAGCCUCAUCGUCCUCCUCUCUGUCAUUAUCUAGGGUUAGGGUUGAAUCGAUUUGGGAAUGAGGGUUGAUGAGCUGUAUAUUUGUAUGCAUGGAUUCAUUUGGUUUGGUUAUCUAUUAGUUUUGAUCUAGGGUAUGGAUGGCACUGUGAUGUCUGAUCUGACCUUGAGCAAGGCAAAGCUUGACUCAAGUUGAACUAGUUGAUGCAUUGGUUCUGAUCUACCUUUUACUGCAUGUAGGACACACCUGACACCAUCCCUGAGCCACUCUGGUGUGGUGCUCCCAUGGAGGAAGUUGCCAAGUGUACUCUGCAUGAUAUGAAGCCUAGGAAGUGUGUUGCUUUUGAAGGUGCUAAGACUGGGAGGAGGUUCUAUGGAUGCCCUGUUCAGGUGAGUAAUUGAGUAUCCUGGGUGGAUUCAGUUAUGCCUAGUGGAUUCAGUUAUUCCUAGUGGUUACUGAAUUUGUACAUUAACUCUAUUUGAACUGAAUUUAGUACUGAAUUUAUGGUUACAUGUCCUCCUUGUGUACCAACCCUCUUUUUGAAUUGAAGUUAGAACUGAAUUUCUGCAUUUUCUGAAGUAUGUGUUCUCUGAUCAAACUACAGGGAGGUGUGAAUUGUGGUGUAGUUCAGUGGGUUGAUCCUGCCUGGCCUGAUGUACUUAAGAACUGCCUCAUCAAGUUGUGGGAAAUGUUCCAUGAGCAAAACCUUGGAAGGUUUCAAGACAAGCAUGCAUAUGAGGAUGAGGUUGCCAAGUUGAAGAAGGACUAUGAUCUGCUCUGCACUGAGUAUCAUAAAAUGGUUGAUGAUGUUAGCAAGAUGUUUGACUGGCAUGAUGGUGUUGGCAAGAUUGACUACCAAAAAGCAAUGGAUGCUGGGAAAUUUGAGAAGCAGAAGGAAGAGCUAGAGCUGGAGAUGAAGAUGGAGAAGCUAAGGCUAGCAAAAGAACAGAGGUGUAUCCUUCAGGCCCAGGCAGACAUAAUUCACAACACCAGGAAGGCAAUGAAAGAGAUAAAGGUGGACAGGGAUCUUUUUGCACAAGAGAAGACAAAGCUUGAGAAAGUAGUUGCUGAUCUGCUAAAUGCUGGCCAUGGGAGCAAGGAAAAGCUUGAGAAAAUCAAGGCCAUACUGGAGGCUUGAAGAUUUGGACAAUGGUGGUUAAGUAAGUAAGGUGGCCUACACAUAUAACAGGCCUUGCAAGAUGAUGGUAGGAGUAUAUUUUGUGCAGUCCUAUAUGAACUAUUUAAGUUAUGGUAACUAGAGUGGUGGAGAACCUUUGCUAAGUCUGGCUUAUGUUAUUGUACUGUUAAGAACCUAUCUAUCUUAAGUAAUGCAGUGAAGAACUGUUUUAUUUCUUUAGGUUGUUUUCCUGAAAGUAGCAAUGCUGAACUAGUAUAUUUUUGGGCCUAAAACCAUUAUGUACACAUUGUGGGCCUAGACUGGGCUGUUUUAUUACUCCACCUACCUACCACCAACCAUUAGUAGUCUAUAAAGCCCACCCCUUGAGUGAAACCGCAGUCAAUCCCCCCAUCCCCACCCUUCUCAACCCCCCAGCCGCCAAAGAAACCCUAGAAUCCAAGGGAGAGAUGGAUCCUGGAGAGGUCAUAGAUGGAGAAGAAGAGGUGCCCAGACAAGCCAGGCGCAGAGAUGCAAGGAGGAGGGCGAGAAGGCAACUUGCUGAGAUGAUCCUUGCAACACGCAACCGCAAGGACAUAAAGCAGUUCCUGGAGGCAUUCCCCCCUGGUUCCAACCCUAGUGAUGAUGAUAUCAUCUACUGGGCAAGGAGGAGGGCAAAUUUCCAUCCCUUUUAGGUCACUAGGCAAAGGUGGACUAGGAUUUUGUACCCAUGAUGCUGCUGUUAUGUUUCUUUGUUCCUAGAUCUGUCUUUCUAUCUAUGUGAUGUUUGAAGUUGGUGUAAGAACAAUGUUGAAUGAGCUAUGUAUGUGACGAAUCAAGUUGUCCAUGAUGCAAUGCAAUGUAUGAAGCUGGUGAAAGAAAAAUGUUGAAUGAUCUAUCUAUGUGAUGAAUCAAUCUGUCUAUGAUGCAAUUUAUGAGUGAAUCUUUUAUCUAUAUUUGUAUGUAUGAAUGAAUUGAUCUGGUGAUCUUGAUGUUUUAAGUUAGAUAUGUUAUGGUUUGUUCAGAUGGCCAUAUCUUGUUGUUUUAGGUUUGAUCUCUUAGGGUUUGGUGCCUAGAUGGGAAAAUCUUGAUGUUUUAGCUUUGAUAUGUUAGGUUUUGGUCCUAGAUAGCCACUUUGGGGUUGGUCAACAAGUAGCCACCCAAAGUGGCCAAAUUUGGGUGGCUUUAGGGUUGGUCGACAAGUUCCACCCCAAAGUGGCCAAAUGUGGCCACUUUGGGGUUGGUCGACAAGUAGCCCCCCAAAGUGACCAAAUUGACCUAAUCAUAUCAAUCAAUUAUCAACAAAAUAAAUCACUUGAUCUACAUAACAAUGCUCAGCAUAAGAAAUAAUUUCAUAUGAAACAAUUCAUAACCUAGGACAUAUCAAAUCAAAAUAAAGCUUGACAACAGAUAACUUAAUUGUUCCAAGCAGUUCAAACACAGACCAUAUAACUUAAUUGUUCCAAGCAGUUCAUACAUAGACCACAUAACUUAAUUGUUCAAAUGAAAAAAAAGUUCACUGCAAAUAACACAGAUAGCAAGCAUGCCUAGCAAGUAGAGUUCAAGGCAUAAAGCAUAGUUGAGUGCAACACAUUCAAUGGUUGCCACUGGCUGUGAAAUACAAAGCAAGUUUGCUUGGGGCCUUCCUCUUCCUCUUAGAACCAACAUCAGCUUGACCUGAUGUUGAUGCUGCCCUUGGAGCAUUGAAACCUCUUGCACUUGACCUGGUGUUCUUUACUGGAGAUGAUGCACUUGACCUGGUGUUGUUGGCUGGUGCUGAAGCAGGUGGUGGGUUCUUUCUCUUUCUUGAUCCACCUGUUGAAACUGCAGUAGAUGUGGUUGCCCUUGUUGUAGCAGAUGUGGUUGACCUUGUUGAAGUUGUUGCUAGUUUCCUGCCCCUAAGUGGUCCUAAAGCUGGAGCUGGACCUGAAGCUGGAGCUGGACUUGAAGCUGGAGCUGGACCUGAUGAUGUGGCCUGGUGGUUGUUUUUCCUUGUCAUAAACUUGGCCUUAAGUCCGUCUCCAUAGAUUGUCCACCUGUGGCCUUGCAGACCACAGUUACUGCAUGUUAUUGUGCCCAUCCUUGAUGUAUCCUUUGGAGCUGGCACCUCAAAUUCACCCUUUCUCCUAGCUGUCUGCUUCUUGCCUUUCUUCUCCCUGAAAACUGGUGGUUCUAUGUCUGGUGUGUUGGUGUUGGGCCAGAAUUCAGGGCCAGGGACAGGGUAGAUGAUGUGCUGGUAUGCAGCCUUAUACAUUGGCUUCUUAAAGAAUGGAUGCACAUAAUCUUCUGGGUGAACUUUUAUCUUCUGCAUUGCAGAUAUUGCAUGGUGGCAAGGUGAUCCAGUCAUGUCCCACCUCCUGCAAGAGCAGCUCCCUACAUCAAGCUUCACACAAUAUGUGUUCUCUCCACUAGUUACUUGCCAGAUGUUGGGACCAGCCAUGUUUGCUUCACAGUAUUUAGCCCACUUCUUGCUCUCCUCAAGCUUCUCCAUGUAAUCUGGGGUUAUUUCCCACCUACAGCUCUCUGUUUUCUCUCUGAUGCCCUGGUACUUAACCAUUAGUUUGGUCCUCAACCCUUCAAACAUGGUCUUAAUUAGUUUUGACCUAACAUCUAGAAUCAUUUUUUUGAAAACCUCACUAAGGUUGUUCACUACCAAGUCAGUCUUGCACACAUGAUCCAUUGCAUAUCUAGCCCAACACUCCUUAGGGAUGCCAUUCAACCACAUGUAGGCUGGUUCACAUGCUGCUUUCAAACCUGCCAUUCCUUCUUUGUGACCAUGUUUAGUGAAGGAAUAGCUAGCUUUGUCAACCCAUUUCUUAAGUUCUUCUGCUCUAAAGCCAGCUGACUGGAAGUUGGCAUAUAUGUGUCUUAGGCAAUAUCUUUGUGGGGAUUGAGGAAAUACUUCAUUAAUUGCUUUAAGAAGGCCCUGUUGUUUGAUUACAUAAGGUAGUAAUGAGAUAACUAUAGCAGCAUUGCUAUGUGCAUAAGAAUAAUACAGAGCCAGAGAAAAUACCUUCUGCCUGUCAGACAUGAUGGUGUAGUUUCCAAACUGGUUGCUGGUGCCAAUGCAGACUCUAAGUUGGUUUAAAAACCAGGUCCAGCUAGGCCCAUCCUCUUUGUCAACCACCCCAAAAGCAAUUGGGAACACAUUGUUGUUCCCAUCUCUCCCAGUUGCUACCAAUAUCUGUUGGCCUGUGGAUAACUUGAUGAAGCAACCAUCAAGUCUUGCAUAAACAGAGAUAGUUAGGGCAAAAUUGAAUAACUUGAUUACAUUUGUAACAUGAUUAAAUCACUGAUUUGUACCUAUGAAAGGCCUACAACCAGCAAGAAAUCCAUCUUUUGAUGCCUGGAGGCAAUAGAACAUGUACUUGAACCUUGGUGUGGGGGCUGGGUUCAAAGGAUCCUCAAAAGUUGUCACUAUGCACCUGCUUCCAGGGUUUGUGUCAAGCACACAUUGUAGGUAGUCCCUCAACCUCAGAUACUGCUUUCUAUGAUCACCUUGCACAACAUCAACAGCCAUCAGUCUUGCCCUAUAUGCCAAACUCCUAGGUACAUGCACCCCAAACUUCUUCUUAGUAUGUUUGAGAACUGUCUCUACAUCAGCCUUUACAUUUGAUCUAACUGUGUCCUCCACAGCUUCUGCAACCCAUUCAGCAGUAACCUUUGUACUCUCUCCACAAGCUCCACAACUAUGAUCCAUGUGGCACUUCUUGAUUGUGAAUGUAUCUUCAUGGGCUACUUUGGAUGCAGUCAUGAAAAAAUCACAUCCAUUCUUCCUCUCUGGGCACCAAACAAUAACCCUUGAUGGUUCAUUCCUAUGGUACUGAAAGUUUCUCAAAGUCCUAACAUGAAAAUUUCUCAAUGCCUUUCUAAACUCAUACACAUUGGUGAAGCAAAGGUCCUUGCACAGCUGCUCAUGUGCAUCAGGUACCUUUGGGUCAUACCAUUUCCUCUCUUUCUUCUUCUUCAAUCUUCUCUUCCUUCCAGAAGGUAGUCUUGGAGUCUCCCCAUCUGAGUCAGAAAUGCCCAUAUCACCAGGGAAGCAAUACUCAUCAGCUUCAAGUACAAAAUCUUGAAACUUUGGGAUCUCUGGCUGACUGUGAGCUCUGGAAGUUGGACCUGGAUUUGCUACUGCUCUUCUCACAGGCUUGAGUUUCUCAGGCCUGCAUUUUUCCACAACUAUUUCCUCUCCACUGUCUGCCUCUUUCUCCUCCUGCCAAAACUCUGAAACAUCACUGUCACCUUCAAACUGUGGUCUGUCUUCUAUAGCAUCUCUUUCUUCUUCAUUUCCAAUAUUUUCUUCACCUCUCUUCCAAGCCUUGUAAGACAUCUUUAUCCCUCUAUAGUCACCCCUAUCAAUCUCAAAGUCUGAGGAUGAUUUGUCAAUAUCAUCAUCCUCUUGACCAGCAGCCUGUCCAUCAUCAUCUCCACCAUUAGCUUCUGAAAUGUUGAAGUUACAGCUUUGCUGUGUGUUCAAAUUAACUUCAAGAGGGUGGACCACUCCAUCUUGUGACAGACUUAACACAAAACCAGGACCCCCCAGUGGGUUGCCUAUUGGAAUUUGUUCUUCACAAACAUUGUGAGCCCUGUUACAUUCAACAUCUCUAUCUUCAUUUGCCUUGGAAACAAUGAUAUUGAGCACUGUGAAAUCUAAGUGGUCUAUCAUUUCUUCAACUGCAUCUUGACUGUCCAAAAGAAAUAAACCUUCCUGUCCAAUCCCUUGUUCUUUUACCCAGUACAUGUAGUCAUCUGACCCAUAGCCUUCAGUCUCAGUAAGUGCUAUCAAGUUCAGAAAUGUGAUGUCUGAAACAGAAAACCUCCUUUCCAUAUUAUCUCUGCCCUGGAAAUGCAGCCUAACAUCCCAAACUUCAUCAUCUAGCCUGCAUUACAUAAUAUGUUAUUUGAAAAGCCCAACUAAGUAAGUGUUUUUGCUACAAAUAUUCAGUGCACACUACUAUAAAGUACAGUAAGGAAUCUGAAUCCAAAAAAUGCUUCUCUGAAUCCACCAUGCAUUUCUACUAAAUCUAACUAAUCCUUCAGUGCUAAGUGAUACUGUUGCAUCCAAAACAUGCCACAGAGUGUUUGCUCAACUAUUAUUCAGUGCAUGUUCAUGUUCUAAGAUGAAUCACAGCAGCAUCAACCUAGGGUUUGGUCAAAAAACUAACUAAAUUAUGCUAUGUUAUUUGAAAUGAACAAGCAGAAAUGCAGAAACUGUUGAAGGAGCUCAUAAGAGGAAAAAAACUUACUCCACCCCUCCAAAUGCAGAGGCCCAGUGCUGGGAGUUGGCCGGAUCUGCCUGCACAGCCCUAUCAAGAGACCUCGCUGCUCUGUACUCAAGCGAGAACUGGCAAUCAUCAGGCGACGGUGGUGUAGCCUGUGUCGUAGGAGCCUGCAUCAGAGCUGCAGCCUGUGGUGUCCGCUGCGGCGGCGGCGGCGCCGCCGGCUAGGUUGCGAAGCUACCACUCCCCAGCCAGUUAUCAACCUCUAAGAACUCGCCGCCUCCAUCCCCCCUUCCACCUCCACCCGUUGAAUGGCCGCCAUCGCCUAGUUUCGCCGCCGCCGCCGCCAUCGGAGAGGGAGGCGCGCACAAGAGAGAGGGAGACAGAGAGGGGGAAGACAGAGUGAGGGCGGGCCGGAUCCAUUUGACUUGGUCGGGACGGCCCGUGUGCCCUAACGGCCGUCACCCGCGCGCCGUGAGCACUGUGGCCGACAAAACCCUGACGGGCGGGCCCCACAUGUCAUAACCCCAGUUAAAACUUAACCGUUCGGCCACUUGGGUUUUUUGGAACAGCCAGCCACUUUUGUGGUAGUUUUUUGAAAAAUUAAAAAAAGCGGUAGUUUUCCGGAACGAUAGCCUGUAAUGUGGUAGUUUUUUGCUAUUUACUCCAAAUAAAUGCUUAAAAAGAGUGCAUCUAAUGGAGUAGUACAAAAUGGUAAAGAAAAUAAAUCAGCCACUAAUGGAGUAACAAAGGUGAUAGCACGGAGUUUGGUAGGCACCGACAAUGAGUAAGCAGGCUGAGGCCACCGGUGCACGAAGAGGAUCAGAAGCGCUGGUUGGGGCUGUGGUUUGGGGCGGCUGCGAUGAAACUUCUUAUUCAACGCUUAUAGCACCGUUUACAGUGUUAUCGGUACCUUUUUUUUGAGGGAAAGAGCCAACUUUAUUAAUCAAAAUCCACAGUGCGUGGGACACAACGAUGGUCAUGGGGCUGGCCAAGCCACACAUGACGCCCUGGUGGUAGCGAUAAAGAAAACCUAGCUAUCUCGUGAGCUUCAGCAUUCUGAGCUCGACUCUCAAAGGUGAAAUUACAUAAAAGUGGUGAUGAGCUCAUCUUUAUCUCUCUGAUUAUAGCUCCAUAAGUGCCAUGACUACCCAUAGCAAUGUCGCCAAUGACUUGUUUGCAGUCCGAAGCCACCACAAAACGUUGCACAUUAAGAUCUUGUGCUAGGGAAAUAGCCUCCCGACAUGCUAUGGCCUCCAGUGUCGCGGGGUCGCAAACUCCGACAAUGACAAGUGAUGAGCUCCCCAUAUAGACACCCUGGCUGUCACUGCAUAUGGCCGCGGCCGUGCCACCCCUCUGAAAUCUUACUGCCACGUCAACAUGAACCUUAGCAUAGCCAGCAGGUGGAGCCUUCAGCCUCUGAGUAGAAGCGUGGCCAGUAGCUGCAGAACGUACGUUGAUCUUUGCAGGGAGUGAGGCAGUAGCCAAAUCAGCCAUGAAGCGAGUUAUAAACUCCUUCGUCGCCCUGGGUGAUUGGAAUAUUGAUUCAUGGAUAGCUUUUCUCCUCGAGGUCCAGAUCGCCCAUAAGGUGACCGCCAGCAGAGUGAACUUCUCAUGUGUUAGCAUAUCCAUUAAUCCAAAGAGCCAGCUCUUCGCCCUCGUCUCCGUUGAUGCGACCAGACUGCAGCCCAAGUCCUCAUCUACCAACGCCCAUAUGCAUCUGGAGACUGUGCACUCCAGGAGGGAAUGACUCCAUGAAUCAGGAGAACCGCAGAGGCCGCACGAGCUAGUCGUUGACAUAUUACGAUGGGCCCUCACAUCCUCCGUCGGUAGUGACUGUUUUGAUAAACGCCAUAGAAACAUGCGUACUUUUGCUGGUACCACAGUUUUCCAGAGGGACUUCCAAGAGGCUUCAUCGACAUGGUUGCUGGAUGAUGCGCCGGAGCCCUCUAGCCACGCCUCUCGCCGUUGCUUCAUAGAUACCAACAUAUUAUAGGCUGACCUGACUGUGAAUUGUCCGGUUCUCUCGUGCAUCCAGCUCCAAAAGUCCUGCAUAGGAGCCGUACACAACGGGAUACCCAUGAUGAUUUUAGCAUCGAAAGGCAAGAAAGUUGCUUCCACCACAGAUCUCUUCCAUGAAGCAUUAGUUGCAUCGAUCAGUUCAGAUACUGUGUUGGGAGGAUUACUUACGCAACAACCAUACGGUCUCAUCAUCUCUGACCGGGGAAGCCAGUUUUCGGUCCAAAUGCUGGUGCUCGCCCCAUCUCCUAUCCGCUUGAUCAGUCCCAAUUUAAGAAUAUCCCGGCCUUCCACUAUGGCUCUCCAUAUCUGACUUGGAUGGUUCCCAAGUGUUGCCUCAAGUAUAGAUGUAUGUGGAAAAUAUACGCUCUUCAGAAUCCGUGCACUCAGAGACUCGGGGUCUUGUAACAUUCUCCAUGCCUGCCUGGCUAACAUGGCAAGAUUGAAAAGCUCAAAAUCUUUGAAUCCAAGGCCUCCCAUGCUUUUUGGUUGUGUCAUUGCUUCCCAAGAGACCCAGUGAGGUUUGCGUUGGCCGUUUGAGCUCCCCCACCAAAAUUUCCUUAUUAGCAUAUUGAGGUGCUCACAUAACCCCCUAGGUAGUUUGAAACAAGACAUGGAAAAUACCGGCACUGACUGGGCAACAGAUUUGACUAGUACCUCUUUUCCUGCCGCCGACAAAGUUCUCUCUAUCCAUCCCUGAAUUUUGCUCCAUAAUCUGUCCUUCAAAUAUUUGAAGGCACCGUUUUUUGAACUCCCUAUAUCAGAUGGCAUGCCCAGAUACUUCUCAUUCAAGGUUUCCUUGGGGACAUUGAACAUACCUUUUAUAGCAUUGCGAGUUUCCUCAGAAACGCCUUUACUAAAGAAAAUUGAGGAUUUGUUGUAGUUGAUUCUUUGACCUGAAGCUUGGCUAUAAAUUUCCAACAACUGGUUAACCUCUGUAGCACCCGCACUGUUGGCCUUGAAGAACAGCAGGCUGUCAUCAGCGAAUAGAAGAUGGUUAACUAGUGGUGCCUGCAGCGCCACCUGAAUCCCACCCAAGUUUGAUGACUCACUUUGUGAUUUGAAAAGGCACGACAUGCCCUCUGCUGCUAACAAGAACAAGUACGGUGAUAUUGGGUCACCUUGUCGGAUUCCACGUGAUGGGUUGAACUCCUCAAGUUUCUUUCCAUUGAACAUGACUGCGAAUUUUACUGAGGUAACCAUGCCCAUUACAAUAUCCACCCACCUUCUGUUAAAACCCAAUAUAAUCAUGAUGGCUUAGAGAUAAGCCCAUUCAACUCGAUCAUACGCCUUCAUCAUAUCCAAUUUCAGAGCACAUGAGUGAUUUUUCUUUUCCUUGUUCCUCUUCAUGAAAUGCAAUCACUCAUAUGCCGUUAUUAUGUUGUCUGUGAUCAAUCUCCCCGGAACAAAGGCUGAUUGUUCAGCAGAAAUUAUAUCUGGCAGUAUCUGUUUGAGUCUGUUGGAGAUUACCUUGGACGCUAUUUUAUAGAGCACGUUACAUAAACUUAUGGGCCGAAACUGGGCAAGGAGUGUGGGGUUUUUGACCUUGGGGAUGAGAACCAGCACCGUAUUGUUAAUGCAUGCUGCUGACUCUGUCCCGUCCACAAUUUUGAGUACCACUUUCGUUACAUCUGCACCGCAUACAUCCCAGUGGCGCUGAAAGAAGUGAGCGGGGAAUCCAUCCGGGCCAGGGGCUUUGAUUGGAAACAUUUGGAACAACACACUUUUCACUUCAUCGUGUGUGUAAGGAGCAUUCAGACGAUCGUUCAUUGCCUGCGUUACUUUAGUAGAUACUGACUCCAGUACCCUAUCCAUGCCCUGUACUCCCUCGGUUGUGUAUAAGUUUUUGUAAAAUUCGGUGGUAAGCUCCUCCAUCUCCUCCCUGUCCUCGGUCAGCUAUCCAUCCGAUCGCUGCAACAAUUUUAUCUGGUUCUUCCGGCGGCGGCGGCUCGCUCGCAGGUGAAAAGAAUAAGUGUUUUUGUCACCAUGGACCAGCCAAUCCAGUCGAGCGCGUUGGCGCCACAUCAAUUCCUCUCUAUCAAACAGUUCGACCAGUCUGUCAGCUAUCUUGGUUUCAGUGUUUGUCGGUCCCGUCCGUCCUGGCGCUGAACGCAUGACCUCAAGCUGGCGUUGGAGUUGGCGAAUCUCCAUACGCACCGAUCCGAAGUUGUUGCGGUCCCACGCUGACAAAUCUCCCGCCAGGUUCCCUAGUUUUGCAUGUAUGCCCUCAACCGAUUCUCCAUCCUGCAGACUCCAGCUAUCACGCACAGUGUCAAACAGUGUUUCGUCCCUUUCCCACAUCGUCUCAUAUUUAAAAGCCUUGUGGCCCAUUUUGCAUGCAUGCAACUCACGUAGCUGAAGAAGAAUAGGAAUGUGAUCUGAACUAGCAGCACUUUUGUGCGAUAGCUGUGAUGAUGCGAGGGCGAGAGUCCAUUCUGUAUUUACCAGGCACCUGUCCAGCCUAACCUGGGUGUAGGUGCCUCCUGUGACCCUUUUUUCAAAUGUCCAACUAGUGCCAGAGUAUCCAAUAUCUGAUAACCCACAUGUAUCAACUGCUUCCCUGAAUGCUUCUAUUUGGGCUUGGCUUCGUUGUCCCACACCAUCAUGUUCAUGGCUGUGAAGAACCUCAUUAAAAUCUUCCAUGACUGCCCACGGUCUGUUCUGCGUCUCAGCAAUACCGCGCAGGGUGUCCCAUGUUUUGUAUCUCUCUGGUACCUGGGCUUCGCCAUAGACAAAGGUAAUUCUUACCUGCAAAUCAACUAAGUCAUCAACAAGAAUAUCAAUGUGAUACUUUGAGUAAUCGAUAACUUCCACUUUUAUUUCAUCGUUCCAAAAAAUUCCAAGUCCACCACUUCUACCGGAACUACUAACUGCAAAGCUUUUAUUGUAGCCUAUGCUAUCAGCCAUACUCUCAACCCUCUUUCCCUCUAUUUGAGUUUCAAGAAUACAAACAAUAGAGGGGGCAAACUGCCUCGCUAGAUCGUGAAGCUCUCUAACUGUCGCGGCUUUGCCAAUCCCGCGAAAGUUCCAGCAAAGAAGACUCAUUGCGCUAGGCGCGGCCCCGCUUCGGAGCCCGCCACAUGCGCAUCAGGGUUUUUGGUAGAAACUGUGCUCUUCUCCAGAGCUGACUCAUUAGACGAGGUUGACUUCAAUCUUUUCAGAUCCUGCUUGGGAGGAGGGCUAAGGGGCACCGCAGGUGAUGGCAGAAACAGUUGCUUCGUCUGUUGUACCGAAUAGGUUGGGAACGUGGUUUUUGGAUCAUGUGCCCCUCUCUUCCUGUUGCGAUCAACCUCAGUCAUUGCUACAUCUCCGUCUCGCUGAUCACGUUCCUGGUGAUGUUGAUCAUCAAACGAGUCUGCACUAUUGGGCGAUCGUCCUCUUCCUCUUCCCCCACGGCCUCUGCCGCGACCUCUCCCUGCAUUGCUGCUCUCGCCUUGAUAUCUUUGAAGACCAGAGUCUUUGGGGCAUGAACCCCGUCCCCGCACUCUUUGUGUUGGUGACCUAGAUGUCCACAAACUGCACACCAGUCCGGCAGUCUUUCAUAUUUGACUCUAAAGAUGACUCGUUCCACCGAAUCCUUUUUCCUUAUUACCAGUGAAACAACGUUCUUCAAAGGUUUAGUGACAUCGAUCCUGACUCAAACUCUAGCAAAGUUACCUUCAAAAUCCGGGGAUCUAGGCUCUGCAUAUAUGAAUUCUCCCAUAGUAGCAGACAUAGCUUUGACCUUAGAAAAGAAGCCAUCGGGCAGGUCGUGAAUCUGGAUCCAAAUUUCCAAUUUGUUGAGCUCUAUAGACGACGGCUUUGUGAAGCCAUCAUACUCUGCCAGAACUACUGCUUUCCCCUUGAAAUUCCAGGGGCCAUCUCCCAUAACCCUCUCCCAGUCACCCAGGCACGAGAAUUGCAUUGAGUACAGAUUAUCUUCCAGUGGUCUGAUCUUUACCUCUUGAGCUAGGUCCCAGGCCACUCUCAUAUUCCUAUAAAACCAAUAUUGGCUGUAUGUUUUCUCCGUGUGAACCCUAGCCAACGCCAUCCAGCGUGUUUCUUCCUUCGGCAGCUCGGUGUCUUCCACCACAACAUCAAUCAGAUCAUCUUCUUUCAGUCCAAGUUCCUCCAUCAUCGCAGCCAGAUUGGACGCAGUUGUACUUGAUCCAGAUGCAGUCGAACUCAUCAUGCGCUCGCUCGAGGUUAGGGUUCCGCGAGCGGUAGGUCCCAAGGAGUCACCACCCGCCCAGAACGCCGCGGCGGCCGAAGGCCACAGCGAUCGCCGGAAGGGGGUUAACAUCCGGGGAGGAAAAGUCCCUACGGUGUCGGCGUCGCCGUCGCUCGAGGGAAGAGAAAAACCCUAACGAGAGGGGAAACUUAGGAGGGAGAUUAGUGUUAUCGGUACCUGCCGCCCACACUACUUUAGAUAGCUAAUUGUAACUGGGCUGGCCCAUAUGUGUGAGCCCUCCUCCAUUACCGGUUGUGAAGGAAUUUCCUAUUCAACGCUUAUACCAUUUGUUAUAGUGUUUUCCUUUUGUUACAGUGUUAUCCGGGGACCUCCUACUUGGUCACCUGCGCGCAAAGUAGGAGGGAACGUGCACCCUUGGCUCCCAUGUAAGAGUUUUUCCCGCCCUAUUUUUAUUAUUUCAUUUUUAUGCCUUUUGUUUUUUCAUUUCUGUUUGUGUUUUUCUUCUUUAAAUAAUGUGUGGUUAAAAAAAUUCCCAAUUUCAAAACAAUACCAAAAUUGUUUGACAAAUCAGGAAAUAUUUGUGAAUUAAAAAUUGUUGAUGACUCUUCACUUCAGUGUCUCGACCCACCGGAACAAAAGCCGUGUGUACAAAUUGUGUUCGAAGCUUAUCGUAAACUGGCUUAGCAAGUGUAGUCUUGCCAAGUCUGCCUGGUCCAACAAUUGAGACCAUCUUCAUCUUGUGCUGCUGUUGCUUGAGACCAUGUGUGAGCCUCUUGGUUAGCUUGUUCCAUGCAUCUUCAAUGCCAACGAGCUCUUUCUGAUCAUUGUACAAAGCCAAUACACGAGGGUCAACCUUCUGUUUGCUAGCUGGAUUAGGAACAUCAUUGACCCUGUAUCUGGCACGCCGGCCAGCCAUCUCUUGAGAGCGGUUCUUGAUGUACCUGAUUGCAUCUCCGAUCUGAUGGCGAGUCUUGCCUUUUGUGAACAAGUUGGCCAUCUUCCCUACCUAUCAUUUGAUCAUGUUUGAGUUGGGGACGGCAUCAGAUUCAUAUCCCUCGACGGACACUAGGAAGUUAUCGAUGACAUCCUCCAUGUCAUACGACAGCUCCCUUUUAGGGAUUCAUGUCCCUUGGAAUCUCCGCCACCUUUACGAGGGCAGCGUUCAAGCUCUUCAUGUCCCUCUGGAGGGACUCGACGUACCGAAUAAAUGGGAGUUAGAGGACAGGAAUCUGUUGUAGGAAAGACAAAGGAAAUUGUUCUCCAUCGCCGUCCGGUUCCACUGGGAAAAAAUUACAUCCACUGCAACACCAAGACCGCAUGCUUACCGAGUAGUAGUAGAAGCAGCAGAGCUGAGUAAGGCACCCACUACCGAAUGCAGGGAUAAAUCCAGCACCAAGUAAGCAGCUCACAAGUGAGAGACGGCAUGCGCUUUGCGAACGGAAGGACAGGAGCAGAAAACAUUUUGGGAGAAAGAUCGACGUGGCUCAGAAAAUUGAAGGCGGUCUACUCCUCCUGAUUGAAGCCGGCGACUACACAAGCGCCAUGGUUUGAUGGAGCAAGAGAAAUGGUGUUGAACCCCCAACUCGUUCCAUUUCUAGCAGAAAAGUAGGGCAAUAAUUGAGUGGUGGUAUGUUAUUAGUGCUGGUAAUGGAGUAGGAAGCACCCUAGAAGUGCACCAACUAGUACAUCAAAAUACUCCUGCCAGUGGCGGUGGUAGAUCAUUCAUGUGUACUACUCGAUCGUAACAAGAACAAUUACAUGAACCAGCUUGUGCCACUAGUAAUAAUAUUUAGCUUAUUUUUACAUUAAGUUUUGCAAUGAAUAAUAUUUAGGUUAUUAAAAAGACUAUAGUUUAAUGGAUGGCCCAGAUUUGGAAAUAUUACUGCAGAUUUUUGGUAGUAAUAGACUUGCUUCACUUGUCGAUUUAUAUGAUCUGUCGCUUUCAGCGACGUUUGGGGCUGUGAUUUGGGUUUGUUGUCAUUGAAAUUGCACAACUAUAGAAACUGGAUUCUUUUUUAUUAUUAUAGUGAGCACAAGGAAUCAUGUUACUAGUUGAAUUCAUAGAAAAAGACUCCAUUCAGACUCUGUCCUGCUCCAUGAAAAUAUCCUAUCAGAUAGACGCAGAGCGGUACAUAUACAGACUCAGGUUUCUUGAAAUCUAAUGCAACCAAGUCUUGUACAAUGGUCACAUGUUAUGUGACCUGAACCAAUUAUGGGUUUGCACUUGAUAAUUCCCGCACGAACCACAUGUAAACAUGGUUCGAAGGCUUGAAUAACAAUGUAAAAUUGAUGUCAAGUUUUCCCGACUUGAUUCCUGUCUAGGUUGGAGUCAUCAGUCUACUUGAAGCACUCGUUUUUCUCAUCUACGUUGGAGGACUGAUUGGAGCAUGAAUUAGUUGAGGAGAUAGAAACCCAUUUUUGGCGAGGGAGAGGACAGAAACCCAUGACACAACAAGGUUUUCAUGAUCAUCAUUGGCUAACUUCAAAGUUCCAACAGAGUGCCAACUACCAAGUGAGUAGCAGUACAAGGCACUGUUCAGCUGAAUCAAUCUUUACAACAUUAACCUAUCAUUCACUGGCGUUUCAUACCCAGAAUUGACUCUUAUAACAGUACAGAAGCAAACCCCUACUUCGAGUCAGUGUUGCUCUGUACUUUUUUUAACGGAGGUUAUAACUACGGCCUCUUUAUUUAUUAUUCAGCGGCCAUCUUUAUUUAUUAUUCCACCAAAGUCUAACAAAAACAUACAUCAAGCUACUCGAAGACAUCACUCACACCUACAAAACUCGAAAAUGUAGAGUGCUCUCACACUCCUCAUAUCUAAACCGGUAUCGUCGCUGAUCCAUCCACAUAACGUGUCGGAACGAACAGCCAGUGCAGCAGACCUAAAGCGCACACCACAUGCACAUGUUUUAGACGCCGCCAUCAUCUGCAGACCGCUGACCCAUCUUCAGGAGAGAGAUCCACAUCAUCCUUGCCAGUCCGUCCAUCCAGUCCCUCCCUCCUCUCGGCCUCCCUAUUAUCCCUCCUCACCCUCUGCUGCUGAUCUGUGGCGGCCUCUCCAAUAGCUCUGUGGCCUUCUUUCGCUGCCGCACCGGCCCGAGCGUUGUCGCUUGCAAGCCGUCCGGAGGCCACAAUGGCGCUCUCCCGUCGGGACUUUGCCACAUUCCAGCAUAUCAGUUGCUCUGUCAUGGGGAUCUGUCCUGCUCCUAGCCGUGUCUCCCGCGAUGGUGGUAGACCUGACUUGUACUACAAUGUUCUUUGGUCGCACGGCUGGCCACGGCGGUUUGCUCCGUUCCUUUGUAUCUAUGUUGCAGCUUCAAUUGUGUUAUGCAUGUCAUGGAUGUAUUAUAAUUCUGGGAUGCAUGUAAUUGUAUUGCUAUGAAUCUUAAAAUUGCUAGGUGUUCCAUGAACCAAUGAAUAUGCUAGAAAAUAUUACUCUGUCAUAUAUAUGUUAGAAAAUGUUCUCGUCGGGCCGGGUUUCUCUGCCCUAGAGAACAUAUUCUACAUGUUAUAUGCGACAAUGUAGUGAUGAAUAUUUCACCGGAAAUAGUGUAAAUGCAACCAACUCCCCCAUUAGGAGACAGAGUGGAAUAUUGUUUGACGAUAGACUUGGUUUAUGCAUAUUCGACGCACGUUUGAAUUUUUUCUCCCGAGCCACAAGAAAGCUCCUCGCGCGACCGCGUCCGUCCCUCAUGGGCGGCCGGCCGCGCUGUCCAUCCCUCCUUCCCAGCGCUCUCCCCCACCCUCUCUCUCCCCACCGUUGCCGGGGUGCAUCCCCGGGCUCGGCUCGGGCGGCGCCGGCGGUGCGGCCCACGGCUUUCCCCCCUGCGGCAGAUCCUGUGCGGGGCGGCGCUGCUUAAGGAGGUGCUCUCAGGUGGCGAUGGUUCGGCGCUGCGGUGGGCUGGUUCGCCGCUGACUUCGGUGGUCAGAGGCGGAGGAGCUCCGCGGCGGCGCGGGCUGGUGGCGCCCGUUCGGCCCAGAUCUGGGCCGAGGCGGGCCGGCAGCUCCGAUUUGUGGUGUAUCUUCCUGGAAGCGGCGGUGGGGUGUCUGGAUCCUGGGUGGUGGCGGCAUCGUUGCCGGAUUGUGCAGCGUGGCGGUGGAGUCUUUGCGGGAUCGAUCUGAGCCCGGCUAGGCCCGGGUGGCCUGGUUUGCCUCCCGCCUCGGCGUCCGGCUGGCUACCGCGAUGGCGUUGGAGGAACUGGCCUCUGGCGCGGCGUCGGUGGAGGUUGUCCCCUCCCGCUUGGCUGCGGUGCUGCCACCCCCGGCUCCAUGCGUUCUCAUUUUCCGUCCUCUAGGCCUCGCGGUGGUGGCCUUAGUGAGACGGCGUGGGUGGCCUCAAGACCGCGGUGGCGAAGGAGGGUGGGUGGCGUGUUGGGUGGAAGACUCCGGAGCGAUUGGGUAGUGUGCACAAGUGUUAGAAUCCUAAAAGGUAAAUAGUUUCUUAAGAUCUGAAGCAAGUGUUGGAAGAUUCUGCUGCCUCUAGAUACACAACAAAUGUCCACAUGUUGCUUCUUGGAGAAGCCGAGAGAGCCUUGAGCGGAGUGUUUAACCUUAUGUAUGAUAUUCUUAACUACCAUUUGUAUUAAAUGAACCAAUAAACAUUUUAUGUUAAUUGUCUUGACAAAUUUUGCUGUGUGCAGACUUACAUAUUAGUGGCACUACACAAAAAAAGAUGGCUAAGGGGUUUAUGAAGUAGGAUAGAGAUUGGUGAGAAAAUAUGUGCCCUCUCUCUCGUUUGUAAAGAGGUUCAAAUGUUAUGUGUGUAGCUUUUGCUAGUAUUCUCGAAUCGUUGGCCGUGAAUUGUCAAUUGUGUAAAUGUACAUGUGAAUUGUCUUAUGAAAAACAAUGUGCAACUGAGUGAUUAUGCCUGUGUAUUGUGUUCAUGUCUUUCUGUAAAUUUCGUUUGCAUUGCUGGUAACAUACUGAAAUGAAGUGCAUGCAUGCAAUGGUGAAAUGAAUCGGUACGAUCGACUGGCUGGCGGUCCAAACUAGUACACUAUCACUGACCGGUUAGAUUGCGGGUCUAUGAUGAGCAAGUCAUCACAAACCCUGAUCCACUGACAGACCAGCAACUAGUUAGUGAUGAUGAAAUUUGGCCGGUAAGUGUUAUUCGGAUUUGUAGUANNNNNNNNNNNNNNNNNNNNNNNNNNNNNNNNNNNNNNNNNNNNNNNNNNNNNNNNNNNNNNNNNNNNNNNNNNNNNNNNNNNNNNNNNNNNNNNNNNNNNNNNNNNNNNNNNNNNNNNNNNNNNNNNNNNNNNNNNNNNNNNNNNNNNNNNNNNNNNNNNNNNNNNNNNNNNNNNNNNNNNNNNNNNNNNNNNNNNNNNNNNNNNNNNNNNNNNNNNNNNNNNNNNNNNNNNNNNNNNNNNNNNNNNNNNNNNNNNNNNNNNNNNNNNNNNNNNNNNNNNNNNNNNNNNNNNNNNNNNNNNNNNNNNNNNNNNNNNNNNNCUCGGGUUUCUGCCCCUUUAUGAUAUAUGAGAAAACUGAACGAUUCAGGUGAAACUAGUCAUGAUAAUAAUUAGCAAUUCUAGUAUUUUAACACACAUAUCCCAAUCACUAUAGUUUUUUCAAACGACUAUUUUAACAACGCAUCUACGAUUCAUAGUAAAAUGUGACAUUGUAUACUGUAAAAUUUCUACAAUCUACAAGGUCAAAUUUAUUGUAAAUGUGACCACAACACCAGAUACACUAGAAAUAAAGUAAAACCCUAAAAGUCCCAUGCUAGCUAGACUACUCUUGGUUGGCUAGAAAUUAGGAGGGAGUACCCAGAUGCCAGUUUGAGCACGAGCUGCUACAUAAGAUCCCGCUGAUUUGAUCCUCUGUGUGACAUUGUCGCUACUUUCAUCUUGCAUAGGAUAUACACGGUUACCAUUGCCAUCAAAACUUGCCAAGUAUGUCAUAUCAUCAGCGUAGAUGUGGUUUCUCUGCACCCUGUCGCGCCCAACCACCGGCACGUCAACCGCCCUGGACAUUUUCCCCAAAAAUAAGGCGGAGUCACCCAAGGUCCUUACUUCCUCCCACUUACGAGCAUACUUUGUCAUCGAGUCAUCAUCCAACACAUAAACCUUGAAGAAAGGCUCAGGGCCGGUGUGGUAUGAUGGGAAUUUCCCCAGUACCAUCGCUAGCUUCCCUUGCAGCUCAACAAUGUGAGUCGACCAUGUGAAAGGUUCACUAACAAUCUUGAUAUGCAACUCGGCGUCAAUGGCGAGCAGAGGCCUGCCAUAUUUGUUCGCGCCUAUGUUGAAUUUGAUCAGGUCAUUGGAGAAUAUUAUAUUAAUGUCAAUUUAAUAUUAUACUAUGUGUCGUCAAUUUAAAAGGCUCCUGCCGUCAUGCCUUUGAGUAUUAUAUUAAUGUCAAAUUGUUUAAAUGCUAGUAAUUAGUUAACUUAGAAGCAAACUGUUUAUUGAUAAAAUGCUAUAGUAUAAUUAAGGGAGUUUUUUUUUUGAAAAAUAAUAAUGUUAGAUAUAUGCUGAUGCAACAAGGGCAUGAUUUUAUUUGUUAGCAAUACUAAUAAAAAAGUUCAUAGAAAAUAAUUUUAUACUCCCGAGGGUUAUACACAUAGUUUAAUUUGUUAAUUGUUAAAAAGUUAGCUAUACAACUAGCUAUAUAUUUGUAAAUACUAAUUAGUAGUGUAAAAAAGCAGGAACGAGCACCCGCCUAUGAUACCUUGAUUUACCAACACAAAACGUGCAUCUUGUGUGUAUGAUUGUGAAAUGCACGUUGUGUGUGGAGUUUGACAUCUAAUUUUUAACCCGCUGUUGGUCUUUCAUAUAGAGGAAUGUCUCGCUGUGCUUCCACGAGUCCCUGUAGUUCGCUACGGCUCAGAAACACAGUGUUCGGACGUCAGAUACACUAAAGUUGCACUAUGACAACCAUUGUACAAUCCAGCCCGCCUCAGUUAUAUUAAUAAAAAUAUCGAUCCGAGAACUUUAUCAUGUAUCUGGUUGCGACAGACGCAUAUACGUUCGAGAAAAAGGAGAUAAAUGGUCCUGCGAAGGUAAGGUGGCAGCUAUCGGUGUUCUAGUACACAAGACAACCGAACGCUACACACAGUACUACAAGUCAGUAAUAAAUAGAGUCUGGCGACUACUAGGCUGGCAUGACAGUGCUGUCGAGCGACUCGCCGAUGUGUAUGGCAAUGUGGAAAAUGCAUCCCAUUACUUCUCAUCUCCGCUCCUCUUUGCUCGGUUUGUCCAAGAAGCGGAACACACCACUCAUGUCGGCCUACAUGGCAUAACAUGCUCGUGGAGAAACUAUGNNNNNNNNNNNNNNNNNNNNNNNNNNNNNNNNNNNNNNNNNNNNNNNNNNNNNNNNNNNNNNNNNNNNNNNNNNNNNNNNNNNNNNNNNNNNNNNNNNNNNNNNNNNNNNNNNNNNNNNNNNNNNNNNNNNNNNNNNNNNNNNNNNNNNNNNNNNNNNNNNNNNNNNNNNNNNNNNNNNNNNNNNNNNNNNNNNNNNNNNNNNNNNNNNNNNNNNNNNNNNNNNNNNNNNNNNNNNNNNNNNNNNNNNNNNNNNNNNAAGACGAUGAAAAUUGAGUAAACACAAAAGUAAAGUAGCCGGUCUCAUUAUCAUUAGAAGACGAUGGCAACUACUGCAUGCACCCAUACAUUCUUGGAUCGCUAUAUUUGGCUUAUUCGGUCACAAACCGACGACUUUGCAGCUGCUACAUAAACAACGCUACUCUGGAUCUUAGGGAAAAAUGUUUGGAGACGGAUAUUGAUAAAGGAAACCGAGGAGAGUUGGUGAUGUGAGUCUACUCCAUCGUGCAUGCUACCUACAUGGACAAGCACAUCCGACCUGGCACAGCCUCGAGUUUCAUUAUCCCCUCUUGAUCCCUCUGAUGUUUCCUCUUUCUCUUCAUCAUCAUCUUCACAUCCCUCAAUGUGCACGUUUUUGUGCCUCGAUUUGAUUGGUUCAACUACUUGCUGGCUAUCCUCAGAGUGGUCAAUUUUUUUGGUGUUCGCGAGGAGUCACCAGUACAAGCAUGGUACUGAUAUGUCAUACAUGACCGUGGCAUUUGUACUUGUAGUUUCCUUUCAUUUUUCAUUUUCCUUUUUAAACGCAUACUGUACUUUCUUUACUACACGAUAAUUAAUAUACACUGCACAUUUUUGUAGUAUACGUCAAACAAAUUUUUUAAUUGUAUGAAAACAUAUUUUAUAUUCACACUAUUUUAAAAAAAUAUAGUGAAUAUUUCUAAAUACAUCUAUAAUUUUUUAAUACACAAUGGACAAUUUUUUCAUGUACACAUAACACUUUUUAGUAUAUGAGGAACAUUUGAAAUAUACGGCGAACAUUUUCUAUAUACCCACUAAUAUUUUUAUAAAUGCUGAACAUUUUAAAAGUACACGUUCAUUUUUGUGUUUUCACAAACCAUAGAAAACCAAGAAACUGAAGUAAAAUGAAUAAACGAAAAAAAACAGUACCGGACAGCUCCGUCGCUGCAAAAAUAGGUCUGCACGUCUUAGUGGGCCUACCCAUUCAGAGUCACCUAUGCGUAUCCUCAACUUUUUCGACAACGGGUGCCUUUUAUUUACUUAUAAUGUUGCAUCGAGGGAUACAAUCAUAACAAGCACACACCCAAACUAUGUAUAACUAGCAUACACACUGCGAACACACAUAAAAAAUCACACUGGCAAAUAACAAAGUCAAAUAAGACAAGAACUAUGGCUAGACACAUACAGAAAACGAAGGAAAGAAGAAGAAAUCCCGAGGCGACCAAAAGAGCAUACGUGAGUGAUCAUAUGUGCCAACCAUCUGAACUACUGCGUCAACUAGGAGGUCUCGCUUCUAAGGCCAUCAAUAAUAUUAACGAUGGUUCCAUAUAAAAAAAGAAUAUUAACGGUGGUAGCAGGUGCGAGAUCUUAAAUUAUCAUUUUUUAAGGCCGCUCCAUCGUUUUUGUUCUGCACAAGUGGCUCCCCUAGCCGUAACCCCACCCACUGGUUAUGUAGUUCUUUAAGAGAAAAUCGAUGACACAUGCAAGCAACAAUUUUGUAUCUUCUGUCAUUUGUUUAUACUAUGCCAUCACGAGGAGAUUGCACUUAAAAAGACAAAUUGCAUAUAGGAUAGUUAAAAAAGGGUUGUUUUCUGUCGUGGAAAGGUUGAUUCUAGUAUGAGUAUUCUCUUGGUAUCCGUUCCUUCAUGGAGAAGAGAAGGUGAUUUUCUCUCGCCGCCCCGUCAAUUGAAAUUAUACAUGUUCAAUGAUGACAUGAAGGUUAAUUUCACACCACUCAUUCAUUGUGCUUGCCUUGAGUUCCCUUCAAGGAUAUACCGUGGCAUUCCCGCCUCAAAGAGCUUUUUCAAACCCCUUUCUCAAGAUGCACAACUCAGUCAUUGUUAUCUUGUGUAGACGGGUUCAUCCAACAGGGUAUAAGAUAACACGAUGGACUGAACUGAAGAGAAAAGAAAAAAAAAAUCAUCUACUAAGCCUUAAGCAUUAAACAAGCUUGGAGUGUUGGUCAGCGUGCGACAUCAUUCAAGAAUUUUGUGGACCUACGCUGACCCAAUGAACUUGUGCCCUAUCCCUUGAAGAAAUAUCUCAUCAAUUAUGAAUAAAAAUGUUUGAAGCAUAGAAGUACUCAUGUUUUGACAACAAUACGACCCAUUGUCAUAAACUCAUAAUAUCCCCAAUUUUUACUCAUGAAAAUCAUGUUUGCAUCCCUUUUUGACUCGUUACAUUGCAAUUGUGUCCCAAUUAGAUAACAAUAACACUAAUGAUUGAGCUUGCCAUUGGUAUUCAGUUAUGUGUACACACACAUCACCUUAUGGGUAUUUCACACGAGAAGAAAAUUAGAGGCGAUUUAUUUGCAACUAACAGGCGCUUGCCGCCUCCCAUUGGCUCGCUGCUUGCCAACAAGCAUUCGAUUCCAUUCAACUGAAUUUAAGAAAAAUGGUCAGCAUGUUGGCGCUGUACUGUGUUGGGUUCGUUGAUUGCAUCCAUAUAUAUAAGCAGUCCAUUCCAUUCAACUCAAUUCAUCAACUGCAUCCAUAAUAAAUAUCAAAAAUUCCCCAUGGCACACAACGUGAUUUGCUUGCUUCUUGAUCGGAUUAUCAAACACCGGAGGGGUGUCUUCCUGUGUGAGGGUGGCCGAAACAAACUCGGCAAUUGCAGACGCUCUGAACUCGCCAUCUGCAAUACACACAGUACAUUGUUAGCCAAUUUAACAGUCAAACCAACUCGGUACAUAGAAAUGGAAAGGAGAAGCUAAAACAAGUUUACCAUAUACUGUUAACUUCGCCUCUUUUUUCUUGAGCAGGACUAGUGAUGGGCGCUUUGCUUGCGGGUCAACAUGGAAAAGCUUGGCUAUAUCAGGACUGGUAGUCUGGUAGAUGUUGACAGCCCGGUACAAGCUGUUGAAAUCUUCCAGCCUUGAGGCAGCAGCAAGCUCUUCGGUGUGAGCACCCUAUAGCAUUUGUUGAUAAGAGUAAUCAAUUUUGGGCCACAUGUGCGGUGCAAUUGCAGCAAUUCGGUUGGAUGGUAGACUUUGCUGGGAUUGGAACGUACCGAAAGGGAGUCGAGGAAAGCUAGCACGGCUACUUUGCCGCCGGUGAUGAUCUUCUCGGCCUCGUCGAUGGUGGUGACGUUCUGCACCUCAGGGCCCAGCCUCUGGGAUAUCCAAGUGACCAUGGCGUCCCUGCAGCAGUGGAAAAUUCGCCACCAUGAGGGAUGAAAUAUAAGACCGUUUAGAUCACCAAAGUAAUCUAAACCACGAACAAAAAAUAAGAACAAAAAAUUUGAAUGGAACAUUUCCUGAAAUUCACAAACAUUUCUUAAAAACAUGAAUCUUUCUAAACCACGAACAUUUUUUAAGUUGUCAACAAGAACAUGUUUUGAAGAUUCAGAAGAGUUGUAGUAAUUUUUUUCUUUAAUGCAAACAUUAUUUUCAAUUUUUGAACAUAUUGUGAAAACAACAAUAUUUUUAGAAUUUGGAAUAUUUUCAAAAUGCAUUUUUCUAAAUAUUGUUUUUUAAAUACAGUUAUUUUUUAACAAAUGGCAAUAUUUUUUAAAUUUUGAAAUACAUUUGGCAGAACUAAAAAAAUUCCAAACAUUUUUAGAAUAGGAACACAUUUAUGUAAUUCGUAUAUUUUUAUGAAUUCUUGAAUAAAAAUGAAAUUGCGAUAUUUUCCGAAAAUUUUGAAUUUCAGAAAAUACGUAGAAAAUAGACUUAGAAUGUGAAAAGUAAAAAAUAAAUACGAAACAAAAAGAGAACUAAGCAGAAAAAUAAAAAUGGAAACCGAACACAAGCAUAAAUCGGCCGCUGAGUUUUGGGCGCCUUGUGCGUACCUGAAACUAUUUACCGCCUUGUGCGGGAAAUAGGAUUUUUUGUUGCUACAUGGGCAGGAAAAAAUGGGCUGAAUUUACGGGGCCAUAGUGCGCGCGGCCCAUGUACGAAAUUUUGCACAAAUUGUUUUUCCUUUGCUAAUAGACGAACAUAGAAAGUUUAGUACCACCUCGGAAAGAAAAACAAUAAUUUUUUGGCGGUGAACGGAUAAAAAAAUCGGAGAAACGCACCUUGCUUUAUUAGUAGGUAUAUAUAGAUAUUGAUAUAGAUAUAGAUUGCUCAAGGUGAAAAGCUAAGGCUAUCCUCUUAAGAAAAAAAACGAAGUUAUCUUCCUCGAAAGAAAAACAAAACUAUGUUAUAUAUCCUCCUCUCAAUCAACAAAAUCACCUCUCCUCGAGCAAGCCAACUCUGACUGCACCAUGGGUAAACGUCAAGAUCCCUCCGAACGAUACACGAGAACCGUCUCGGCCACUGCCAAACAAUUGGCCACAAGCUUCGACAACAUAGCAGCUUGGAUUUUGCCGAUGAACUUUGCUGGGGAAAAUUGUAAGCCUCGCACCGAUCUAGUCCAGCGCAAUCUCUGGAGAGCAGCGUCCACUGAAACCAUCUUCAUGGAGUCAUCGUUUCCGCAGGCGCCCCUCCACACACAGCUUCAUCUUCUUUGUUACAACAAGAAACAAGCAUAGGCACACCCAUUGGCACACCCGACUGUCAAAUUCAGAAGGGCCAACCACGACCUAGCUCCGCUCGCCACCAUUGUCGUCGCCACGAGUGCCAACACCAACUACUCGCAUCAUCAGCUGUGCACCAUCCAACCGUGAGAAUGUGCAUAUCCAACCCAGGAAAAGUGUGGAGGGGAACAAAUCUUCAAGACGGCGCCCUAAGUGGGGAGCGAUGCAGAAAUAACAAUGUUGUCCGACCCUGCAACAGGGACCUUAGGCUUUUACUGAAGACAUCCCAAGGGUGACCAAGAUGGAAGAGCUGCACGGCGACCCUCCAAGAAGGAAUAACGACACUAGCAACCGCCACAUCAUCAUUGAUGGCAUAAUCCAGGCAAGCCUUUGCCCCGGAGGAACAAACGUGCACAUACACCCCCACUAGACAAAAUACUGCCUUACCUAUAGACAAAUCAGUUCUUUUUUGGGCGAGAUAAGCCCAAAGUAAUCUGUGCAAAUAUUCUCUGUAAAUUCAAAAUCUAUGUGUAUUAUAUGUAGUUAAUCAACAUUUUACCGCCCAAAUUAGAAUCCUAGCCACUUUAUACCUCGAACUUUCAUUAAAUGUGUCUAGACUUACGUAUUGAGUGCACCAUGCAUGCUGCCAAGCCAACCCGCGUUGAAUCGCGCCAUAAAUUUCCUUAAGUUUAAAUUUCCGCUAGGAUUUACCUUGUAAAUAAGUUUCCACCGUUCUUACUAGCACAAAUUUAAAGCUUUGGGGUAAAUCCUUUCUGCAUAAUCCCUGUAAAAAAUGAUAAAAGUAAAGGUACAAAGUAGAAAUUUUAAUAUAUAUCAUCACACAAUCAUAGUACAACCAGCACACACAUACAAUUAUCAUCCAUACAAGCCAGAAAAGUAAGUCAGAACAAUCACAAGAUUUACAUGGGCAUCAUACCCUAAUCUUGAUUGAUCUUGACAUUAUAUAGCACAGAAUGACUUGAUGGUGGUGGGUUACAACACACCACUUAUUUAAUCCAGCAGGCAAUAUAAGUCACGAGUAUACUAUAUCUGGCGCGGUUGAUGUACUCGAACAUCUCAUCCCAGCGGCUCCUCUUGGAUGUGUGCUUCCACAUUUUCCUUUUCCGCUUGUGUCCCAAGUGGUGGUUUUGGUUGUGCAUUCGGGUCCGGCAGUCCAGGCAGUGGUUGUGGGUUUGGGUCUGGUAAUGGUUGUGGGUUUGGAUCAGGCUGCGGUCCUGGUAAUGGCUGAGGGUUUGGGUUUGGUUGUGGGUCCGGCAAUGGUUUUGGGUUUGGGUCUGGUAAUGGUUGUGGGUUUGGAUCAGGCUGAGGUCCUGGUAAUGGUUGAGGGUUUGGGUUUGGCUGUGGGUUNNNNNNNNNNNNNNNNNNNNNNNNNNNNNNNNNNNNNNNNNNNNNNNNNNNNNNNNNNNNNNNNNNNNNNNNNNNNNNNNNNNNNNNNNNNNNNNNNNNNNNNNNNNNNNNNNNNNNNNNNNNNNNNNNNNNNNNNNNNNNNNNNNNNNNNNNNNNNNNNNNNNNNNNNNNNNNNNNNNNNNNNNNNNNNNNNNNNNNNNNNNNNNNNNNNNNNNNNNNNNNNNNNNNNNNNNNNNNNNNNNNNNNNNNNNNNNNNNNNNNNNNNNNNNNNNNNNNNNNNNNNNNNNNNNNNNNNNNNNNNNNNNNNNNNNNNNNNNNNNNNNNNNNNNNNNNNNNNNNNNNNNNNNNNNNNNNNNNNNNNGGCAAUGGUUUCGGGUUUGGGUCUGGAAAUGGUUGUGGGUUUGGAUCAGGCUGCGGUCCUGGUAAUGGCUGAGGGUUUGGGUUUGGUUGUGGGUCCGGCAAUGGUUUUGUGUUUGGGUCUGGUAAUGGUUGUGGAUUUGGAUCAGGCUGCGGUCCUGGUAAUGGACGAGGGUUUGGGUUUGGCCGUGGGUCUGGUAGUAGCUGCGGGUUUGGGUUUGGCCAUGGGUUCAUCAACCGUUGCAGGUUUUGGCCUGGCAAUGGUUGUGGAUUUGGGUCAGGGUGUGGUCCUGGUAAUGGUUGAGCAUUUGGAUCAGGUUGUGGCUCAGGCAGUGGUUGUGGGUUUGGAUUAGGUUUAGGAUCGGGUAGUGGUUGCGGGUUUGGGUCUGGUCGUGGUCCUGGCAGUGGUUGUGG
Molecule: long non-coding RNA, 47530 nt
Filed under: Triticum aestivum (bread wheat)
Lineage: Eukaryota; Viridiplantae; Streptophyta; Magnoliopsida; Poales; Poaceae
Description: long non-coding RNA (TAES_LNC009528)
Source: RNAcentral